AUGACCAACCUGUUCCUCAGCCGAUGCAGUACUUGCGGGCACAGUGCCCAAAAAAUUGCACAGUUUCUAAGCAAUCUCUGGACUUCCGAUUGAACGCUAGAAAGAAUGUAGGUCUAGAUUCUUCCUUUUUUUUAGGGCAAACGUGGCUAAUAGUGUUCUCCAGCAAGAAAUCCUAAGGUUUUUGCAAUUUCACAUCUUUGUUUCGUCGAGCUUGAGCUGAGGAGCUUGACAGUGCGCGAGUGCAGCGAAUUUUAGUAGUAGUCGGAGUGUUUUUUUUUUUUUUUUUUUUUUUUUUUUGUGGCAAGAGGUGGAGGGAAACUAAGCAGAAUGAGGCCGAUUUUGUUGAAGGGUCACGAGAGGCCCCUUACGUUUUUGAAGUACAACAGAGACGGAGACUUGCUUUUCUCCUGUGCCAAAGAUCAUACGCCUACAGUGUGGUAUGCGAGUAACGGCGAGCGUUUGGGCACGUACAAGGGCCACAACGGAGCUGUAUGGUGCUGUGAUGUUUCGAGUAGGUUUUCUUGACCUAGCUGGUGUUGUUCGGUCGUGAACUUGCUAGCGUAGUUCGCGAGAACUAGGUAGGUCUUGGGUUCGACCGUUUGGCGAUUCUCAAGCCACGGUGUAUUGAAAAGAUGGUUUAGUUUUGAGUCUGGGUUUUGAUUCGCCUCCAUGUCAUAUGACCAUGUUGUUCAGGGGAUUCGACUCGCUUGGUGACCAGUUCGGCUGAUCAGACUGUGAAGCUAUGGGACUGCGAGACUGGUGUCCAACUGCACUCUUUCAACUUCGAUGCUCCCGCGAGGGCUGUUAGCUUCGCUGAAGGCGACAAGAUGGUGGUGAUUACUACUGAUCCGUUCAUGGAACAGCAAUCUGCUAUUCAUGUCAAGCGGAUAGAGUCAGACCGAUCUUUACGUAAGUGCUUUCGUUAUCCUUCACCUCAUCGCGGUGCACAAACCUUUAGAAUCAUAUAUUAGCUUUUUCCUUCAAAAACCUUAAAUCUUUGGAGUUCCAAUUACAGCAUCACUGGGAAAUUCCGAGACAUCGUAUCUCUACAAUGAUUGUCACCCGACUUUUUGAGUGUCUGGUUCACAAGCGAGAUUUUUGUUAGGGUUUCAUGCCCUGAUCAAAAAACCGAAGUGAAGCACGGUUCAGUUAGUUGGAGCCAAUUGUAGACAUCGUAAUGAACGUGCAUUUUUUAAGCUUGAACCGUCAAGUAGUUUUUGAUUCCAUGGAGAUGUCUACCUGAUACUUUUUGUAACACUACCCUAAACUCCUCCUUGUCUCUAUCAACUCUAGGACACGUCAAGGCUAAUCUCAGGCCUUUCUUUUUGCAACUUCGGAACUAGAACUUGUUUACACUUCUAAGAUCGUUUGAGACAAGAACGCAGCAGUGUAUUCGUUCAUUUCUGAAAUUUGAGGUCUGGAUGAUGAAUGCAGAAUCCAGUGAAGAUGUGCUCACGAUCACAGGGCCACAAGGCAGGAUCAAUAGAGCCAUGUGGGGACCAUUAAACAAGACCAUUAUCAGUGCUGGCGAGGACGCUACUAUCCGUAUCUGGGAUGCUGAGGUUUGUCUUAACAAUUGGAUCCUGACAGCACUUUUCAAUUUUCAAUCAAGUAGUUUAUUUACAGGUUACGUGAUGUUUUGAUAUGUUGUGCCAGUUUUCUUUUUUUUAACUAUCGGAGCGAAAGUUCUACGUUCUUUGGGUUGUAUAAAUGUCAACAGACGACUCAAGCUUCAUUCAUGUAUUUCCUCUGUGUUGACUUCAAGGAUAGGGUACCUGAAUCUCAAUUUUGCAGACUUCAAAAAUCUAAAACGAUUCAUCUGAUUGCAAUGUGACAAUGUGUUGGUUGCAAUUCAAUUCGUUUCUUCGUUCACUUGCAGACAGGCAAGCUAUUGAAAGAAAGCGAUCCUGAAACAGGCCACCAGAAGGUUAUUACAGCGAUGGCGAAGUCAGCUGAUGGCUCACACUUUAUCACUGGAUCUCACGACAAAUCAGCGAAGUUGUGGGAUAUUCGAACCUUGCAAAUGUUGAAGACGUACACCACAGAGCGACCUGUGAAUGCUGCUGCUAUUUCACCCCUGCUCGAUCAUGUAUAGUCUACCUAUUCCCAUAAUAUCCAAUGUGUCCGCUCUCUUUAGGCGGAAUUGGAGAAGUCUUGUAACGUCUAUCCUGUGGGAUUGAACUAGACAAGCUGAUUCCAACUGAUACUGGUGAUUGCUGAAUAAGAUAACAGGGAUGCUGAGUUCAACAUGGCUUUGGUUGUGCCGCAGGUCGUCAUUGGUGGUGGUCAAGAGGCUUCUCAAGUGACAAUGACAAGCACUCGAGCUGGAAAGUUUGAAGCAAAGUUUUUCCACAAGGUCAGUUCGUCGCCCCCAGUGUCGUAGUUUAUGUUUUUUUGGUUAUGGUGAAGUGUCUGUUAACCCUGGUACGGUCAAUUUUUCUACUCUUAUUGUUGCGGUCUCGAUGAAUGAAAUUCGUCAAUGUGCAUAAUAUACAAGUUGGCGCUUUGUAAAGACACCAUUGACUGCAGAGAAUGCCUUUUUACCAUUUAUCCGAGAUAUUCAUCACAGACUGCAACUCAUAAAGCAUAGAAAGAGAAUCCUUAUUUACCGUCUCGUGAUUGACGUGCCAGAUUUUCGAAGAGGAAAUUGGUGGUGUGAAGGGCCAUUUUGGACCUAUUAAUGCUCUAGUUUUUAAUCCUGACGGAAGGAGGUUCGUUUUGGAUUUUAUUUUCUGCGCAUGUGUUGGGAUAAGUAGUUUUUGGACAUAUGUAUAAGUUUGGAUAGAUGUUUCCCAAUAUCCCUCUCUUACUUUUAUGAAAUAAUUGAUCAAACUAUUAUGAAAUGAUGGGUAAAAUAAUGUUGAGAUUGUUCUCUCUGCAACCUUGUGCAAUGAAAGUUCUACGAGUUCUGCAUGGUUGCAUGGCUAGAGCUUAAAUAAGAUAUAAUUUCUUUUGAAACAAAUAGUAGACUCUCUUCACUAAUUUGGUAGCUCUUCUCCAUGAAUAUGCAGUUUCUCAAGCGGUGGUGAAGAUGGAUAUGUGCGGGUGCAUUUCUUCGACUCAGAUUACUAUCACAUCAAGGUUUAAUAUGUGUAUCUUUUAGCUAGGGUUGAAAGGUCCAGUGACCACUGUUAAGAAUUUUUGCAUGUUCUUUUGGCUGGACCAAGGACAGCAAGUUUUGACCAAAAUUAAAUUUCGAGAGAGGAUAUUCAAUUACGUCGUAAACUUAGCAGAUAGAUAUACCUAGAAUUUCGGAUUGCUACAUUAGUGUUGUGAUAGUAGCUCCAGAGCAUCAGCUUCUUUUUGCUGUUUGAUGCCGUAUGUUAUAUUAACUGCUUUCUUGCUCAUUCCUUAGUAUUUAGAUUUAUUCCAAUAAAGAAGUUCCAAUCUCAUUGUUUUGAAAUAUACUCUGAUUUUGGAAAGGUUUCUUUAAGUGGAUGUUAUUAAAUGAUUUUUUUACCAACUGCUUAACAUCAUCUUAAAAUUCAUCGCCUUUCUCCUCAUUCAUUACUGCAUGACCCUUGAAUUCUUACAAGCUUUUGUUACCGUUGACGAGCAGAAAUCAAUUUCCAUCCUGUUAAGACUCAAAAACGUAUGCCUUCAAAUGAUCAGUGGAAAGACGUAAGCAUCUUAUUCUAUCUCGGAGGAUUUAUUUUGCACUAAGAGAAUGAGACAUAUGUGAGAAUUUCGAAUACAUGUCCAUUCCAAUCAGACUAAAGAUUUUGGCUUGCAAGGUGGGUAAUGCCCAUCAAACCACGACUUUUGUCAAAUAUAAAAUCUAAUAAUGGCUAUUUAUACAAGUAAUUAAUAAAAAAAUAUUAAUUUCUUUGAUUUCAAUGUACAUGGAAAUUACCAUUUUAUUCUUUAACACUUACAAACGCUUAACAACUUAACAUUUAGCACAAUGUAUAAUAUGGUAGGAUUGUAUUAAGUUUUUUAAAAAAAAUGUUAAUUUUAUUACCUUGGACAAAAAGAAGAAAUAAGAAUCUUAAAUUUUGCUUAAACCAUUAAGAAGUUAAGAAAUUCUUAAUAUAUUGACAUAUUUUAUCACUCCGUUUAGUUAUAAAAAUGAAUUGGGCAAAUUAAAAUUAGUACUUAACAUGAAAGCUACAACUUCUUAAGCAUGUUGGGCUCUACAAAUUUUAAACAGAAGAUAUUUGAUUCCAUGUGCAUAAAAAUACUUUAUUAUGUAUUAAUUAUUGGAAUUUAGUAAAUAUAAGUUUCCAAUUUUUUUUUUUUUUUUAUAAUAGUAAUGCCAAAUAAGAUGACUCAAAUACCAUUAGUAGUCAUAUUUUGUGGCAAAAAAUGAUAAUCUUAAAAAUUAGUAGUAUUUAUACAUUUCCAUUAAUCUUAAUGCUUGGAGCAAACAACUUCGUAAACAAUUUAGUUAAAAUAUGUUUUAAUGAGUGGUACAAUAACACACUUAUAAUUUGAACUAUUACAAUAUAUAUAUAUAUAUAUUUAUAUAUAUAUAUAUGUAAGAAAAAAAUACUUAAGUAACUAGUGACAAUUUUCUAGUAAAUAAAACACUAAGAAAAGAUCAUAUAUAUAUAUAUAUAUCAAAUGUAGUUUAAGAGAAAUAAAUAUGUUACAAAAAUUGUAAUAAUUUUCAAUUCAUACUCAUAUGUUGACAAAGUAGAUAUUUUUUUAUAUUUAUGCUAAAAUUAAGAAAUAAAAAACAUUGACAUCAAAUGUCUCUACACAAAAAAUAAAUAAAUAAAUAAAUCCAGAUUAAAAAAAAAAAAAAAAAUGUUAUAAGGAUUAGUUUAUAGUUUUAUCUACCAUUGAAUGCAUACAUUUAUAAUGAUAGAUCUAUGUCUACAAUAUUUAUAAUACAAGAUAUAACUAAAAGAUCUUUUGUAAUAUACAAGUGUUCAAAAAUCCAAUACUUUAUAAUUUUUCCCCAUUAUCAAGUGUUUACAUUAACAAUACUAAUAAACCUUAUUUAAGAUAUCUAAUAGUUAAACUUCUUCAAAAAUAACUAAAACUCUAUAUGUGUGUAUGUAUGUGUAUAUAUAUAUAUAUAUAUAUAUAUAUUUGCAUUCAACACAAUAAAUAAAUAAAAGAUGUCUUUAUAAAAAGUAGCAAUGACUUUUUAGAACCAAUUUUGAUAAAUAAGUUAAAGAAACUAAAGUCUAAAACAUUUAUAAAUUUUAAACCUUCAUAUAUUAUUAUUACUGUUUUAUUAAAUGGUUCUUGUUGUUCUUUUAAACAUUAAAUUUAAUAAAAUUUUCAUAAAACACUAUAUAUAUAUAUUUAUAUAUAUAUAUUUUAAUAUUGAUUUUCUACUUGUAGUGAAAGUUUUAUUUUUUAAAGCAUAGAAUAAUACUAAAAGAAGAUGUCAAUACUGAGAGAAUAUUAAAACAGCUUAUAAGAGAAAUGUAUAAUUAAUUCUCUACAAAAAGAAUAAUGAAUGUCAUAGAAAAAAUAGUAUAACCAUCUGAAGGUAGAGAUCUAUUUUUAAUUCCAUUUUAAAAAGAGGUUAUUGUAAUAUUAAGAGUUUAAAAUAUUAUUAAUUAUAUCUGAUUGAAUAUUUUUUUUGAAGGUAGGAUUAAUAAUUUAAGCAUUUGUAUGAAUUAAAGUAAAGAUUUAUUAAAAUUGUGUAAAAAAUAACUCAAACAACACCUCACAAACAUAAAGAAAAUUGAAUAUUAAAUAAUAAAUAUUGACUUAUUUUAUUGUAUUUAAUUAAAUUUAUAGUUUUAUUGGUAGGUUUUUAAUUUUAUUUGUAUAAUUUUUUUAUUUUCUUAUAUUCAUAUUUUUUACAUUAAUAUUUUUUAACUAAAUAUGUUAUUCUUAUAUAUUUCUUAAAUCUCUUCCAAAUUGUAUGCAUUAACUAUUACAUGUGCUAAUAUUUUACAUUGGUGAUUAUUUAAAGGUUUUGAAAAUACAUUUUUUAACUUUUUUAACUCUUAUUGGAUAUUUUACUUUAUACUAUUAUGAAAUAUACAUUCUUAAAUUUGUAAUGCAUAAUAUAUAAAAAUACAUUCUAAUAAUCUUUAUGAUUAUAAAAUAUCUCAAAAGUAUUUUAUAUAUAUAAUAUAAUAUUUAAAUAUUUAAUAUAAAAAAUAUAAUAAUUAUUUAUUAAUUAAUAUAAUUUAUAAAAUAGAUUUAAUAAUAGAUAAUUCUAAUCCCAAUUCUUUAAAUAUAAUAUUUAUUACAUAAUAUUAAUUCUAUUAUAUUUUAUAUUUCUAUUUACAAAUAUAAACUUUAUCAUAUCAUUAUCUUUUUAUUUUCAUUUUUAUAAUUCAUUUAAACCUUCUUAGAACUAAAACUAUUGCCUUAUGUUGUAUAAUAUGUUAGUAGUUUAGUACAUGGGUCAUAUUUGUCUCUUUUAAUCACACUUGAAUUUAUACAAGUGACUAAUAUGCAAAUCUUUCCAUUGAUAGUAUUUCAAGUGAUUUAAUUCCGUCCUCUAGUGUCAAAGAGAGAAGAACAAGAGUUAAAAAAAAAACAAAACAAAACAAAGGGAGAAAUUAAGUGUGCAAUUGGGGGCCAUGUACAAAUAUGAAUAAAGUAAUGAGAUGUGAUCUCUUUGCAAAAACAAAACAUUAAUAAGUUUGAAGUCCUUUGGAAGAAGGGCACGUAGAAAGAGCUAUCUUUCUUUGGUGUUUUUAGACAAGUUUACUUACUAAUAUGUUGUCAAUACUCUUGUACUACCACUUGUGCCUUCAACUUAGCUAAACAAAUUACACUACUUUUUUUCUUUCAUUUGCAAACUAUCAAGUUAUCCGUUUUAUCUUAUAACGUCUUCUUGUUCUUUAUCAUUAGUUUAGUCACUUCAACACAAUGCUUGUUGGUCUCUUUUAAAAGACUGUAGGGGAUGUAUUGUAUCUGCAAAUUGUCACAAUUAUUAAGAAUAUGAAAUCAAAACGAAUUGUGCAUAACAAUUUUCACGUUCACAAGCCACGCAUAAAAACUACAACCACCUAAAAAAUAAUUGUAAUUUAAAAAAAUAUCAUCUAUGUAUUUAAAGGACACCAUGUUUUACAUGUAAUUGACUCAUAUUAGCUACAGUAUACCCUUACUUUUUUAAACAUGUACUAGAAAUAUGUAUAUUUUUUAAAAACGCACACAUUCUCGUACACACACACAUUGUUUGAAACUGUUUCUGUUGAAGCUAGACAGGGGGCGAAAUUCCACCAAUGAACUCAACCUUCAAAAUGUAACUUUUAUCCUCAAAUUCAACGGACUGACAAUUAUAUUGUUUUUAUUAUUCUAACGUCUUCAAUUCCAAUGUCUCAAAACACAAUCAAACCUAUCAUCAAGUAAGUGUUCUCGCAUUAAAUAAAUGCAGACGUAAGUUACACCAACACAUUAAAAAUAAUAAUAAAGUCAAUUCUAAUCAUCUUGAGGGACGGAGUCGCCAAUCGCUACUAUUAGGAUGAUCAUAUACAGACAAAAAAAAACUCCCGAAAUAUGACCAUUUCUAAAUUAAGAGGUAUUGGGAACGAUUCCUGGAGGAGACACUCCUCCGACGCCGCACGAGAGAAAUGCUGAUGCCGGUCACCAGGAGACUUGGACUAUAUUCUUCUGCUGCUUCUUCUGCUUUUUGCAAUCUGCACAUGCAGUGGCUGCACUGUUUUGUCGAUGCAGCGAUCGUAACACAGCAACAGCAACAAUGUUUCCAGGGAAACUGGUUUCCAGAAGGACCACUGGAACACAGAGUCGAAACUGAUUGGGAAAGGAAGGAAACCACACUCAAACCUCAGCAACCCAUCGUCAAGCUCGGAGGGGAGCCUGCAUUUGCAUGCAAAUCGUCGCAAGCGUGUCAUGGUGCAAAAACGCCGGUUCCGGGGAUUUAGCCACGUUGUCAGAUGCGCUUUUUUUAAAUGAUUUUGUUGCCUUCUUCCAGAUUAUCUGGAUAAGAGGAUGCCAUUUGCUAAGUAUGGUGUGCGUUGCGAAGAUGGCGACUGCGGAGAUGUGGACACGGAGCCUUGCUUCGGUGAUCACAGGAGCAGGUGGGUUUCUAAACUGGGAGGGUGGGGGCUUGUGGCAAACACCAAGAAUGCCGUAGUGUCGACCUGCCAGUGCAUCAGGGUCAUUGAUGGAAAGAGCUCCGAUUACGGACGUGCCCCAGAAUCCUGAGCCGUGCGAGAUUGUGUCGAGUGGAAUCCGAGUACCUUUACUUAGAUCUUUUGGUGCGACCAUUUGUUCGUGAGCUCGCAACUCCAUGUCAUUAAAGUUAGUCCAGUAUUUAUUUAUUUAUUUAUGUUACCUUUUUUCUUUCAAACGGGGGCUGUGGCAGGUCGGAUGUGCUCAUUCAAUCCCCCCACCCCUUCCAGAGUUUUCAAUUCCAUCUUUGAAUCAGCUUAAAGUGCCUCGAUUGUGUGUUACAUAUAUUUACACUCACAGCCUGGAACUACAUUCUGUUUUAUUCAUGACCUCAUGCAUGGUGGGUUCAGACAAACCUCAAAAUUUGCUAAUAGUAAUCACCACAUUUAUUUUUUUAUACUUUUUUGAAACCUUUGGCAGAAAUGGAUGCACAGCGAAGCCGUCAUGAAGAAGUAAUUGAACACAGCCCGACAAAACAACGAAAAACUUACAUAAGUAAAGCGGAAUAAAUAAAUUUUAGAGAUAUGAACUUAGAACCCACUUGAGGUAAUGGUGAAGUAUUUUCGCACAUGCUGACAGAGGCUCAUUUUCUCCUUUUCUUAUUCUCUAAGCAACGAUAUCAUAUGAUGCAAUAGUGUGUGAUUUCCAUUGGUUUGAUAUCCCGCAGAUGGGCUUGCUUUUAUGAUGCGGUAGGUUUUAGAACUAGGUAUCAGAACCUGCACAUGCAUCAUGAGUGCAAGAAUGGAGGAGCGCUCUGAAAGAUUUUGUGGAGAUUAAUGGGGGGAAUGAAUGCGUGUGCGGAUACAUGGAUGUGAACUGAGAUGGCUGCGUCACAUUCAAUCCGUCAUCAGGUGAUGCUCUCCCAAGCAAAGGUUCCGUGGUCUAGACCUCUAAGUUAAGCUCCUGGGAAUAGUUGAGAAUAAAGCACCCGGCGCUUCGAGUUACACCGGAAGCCGGUAGACGCAUGACGUUUUUUCGAUGCGUGGCCGGAAAGAUGGUAGGGAGGAUUAUCUCUAUUAGGGAGUUCGAACACUACGAUGCCAUAGCACUCUAGAACGAUACACGAAGUGUUCAAUUCGGCUUACAACCUACGAAAUUGUGUCUACUGUCUGCGAUCUCGUGGUUUGAAGAAUUAGCUUCGUGUUGCGCGCCUAUGUCGGCGUUAACUGGGUUGUGGUAUCCUGUUCACCGGGAGGUCAGGAUAGUAUGGAGAGUCUCCGAUCUGUGCAGCUCAGCGGAUGGAGCUUGAAUCUCUGAAUAACUCCGUGUCGUAUCGAACUCCUCUCGAAGGGUUGGAGAACUCGUGGUUGGUUGCAGUCAAGUGAAGCGUAUCGACCGACCUUGGGAAUGUUGGUAAAGCGACUUUUUUUUACUGGACAUCACUGGUUUCUCUCAAGUUGGAUGUGCGAGCUCGUCUACUUGUAAGUGGAUUUGCGCCGGGUCCGACCACAAGGACGCAGCAGUGCAGGUGCUUCGACGGAGUCCAAGCUUUGGCCAGCGAGUGCUGAAAGUGUUAGGGGUUUCAUGUAGUAUUCGAUGCGCAGCAGCGGGGCAAGAUCGUAAGAGACGUUUCGGCAAGUAGCCCUAAUCAACAGCAGUCGUGGAGUAGUUCGUAGUUUUUGUAAAAAGACAAUCUCCGUAUGGAGCUGGAUUGGUAUUCGAAGAAACAUUUCACCUCAAAUUCAGCUAGAAGAGUUGCAAUACUGACCAGCUUCAUGGGCCAUGUGAGUCGAUCUGCUUAACUUUCACACCCAACCUCUCUAUGUUCGAUUUUCACUUAUCCAAAACAUCGUGUGAAAUUGUCUUCGAUUACUUCGUAGUGCGCAAUAUGAGCCCCAUUUCCCGGAAGACUGUACCAGCGUGAGAAGUUAGUACAAUGGACUUUCAGUGAAGUUGUUUUUGAUGGUGGAGGGCAUUCUGUGCAGGUUGGAUCAAGGCUAUUGCUGGUAAAGCCGUUGUACAAAAGGUUGUCAAGUUCAAUAUCAUCGAAAUCCCUACCAGCACCUACGGCAUCUAAGAAAUGGGACGACGAUGAAUAUCUCGACUUCCAACCAAAGUGCUUGUCGCUCGGAAGGUCGAGGAAAUGGGUGUUUUCAUCGUUCGAUGAAAGAGCGCGAAGAAAACAAUACAAUUGCUUUGCAUGUGUUCUGCACAUAUGAAAGCUGACCGCCUGCGAUUACAAUCAAGUAGUGCAAGCGACCACCUGCGACUACACGCUGGACUUUUUCUCGUAAAUUUUGUUAUUAUAUUCUAGAACCUUAUCAGAUUGUGUAGGUGUUUAGAAGUAGUCAUGAACCACUACCAGUGACCAUGCCUGUAACUAAUUCACAAGUGCAUGCUACAAUUCACUCGGGUAGACUGUCUGCUAAGCUUCUGCAAAUAUUCAUUCAAAGAGCGACGAUCUGGAUACAACUACUCCUGCUCUUCUUUCUUCUUUGUUAUUUAUUUUUAUUUAUAUUUUACUUCGAGUUAUACAAAUCUGAGUCUGUUUGAGAAGUUUUUAUUUUUUUAUUUAGUUCUUCAUAUUGGUGUAUCUCUUUUACCUGAUGUUGCAUCCUGGUGUUGCAGCAAAUAAUAAUAUUAUAACAUUUCCGUAUGUUUCCAGCCAGUCUUUGUGGCAUGCAAAUCAAGCCUCACAUGAUGCGUGCAUUGUUCCUGUGAGGUUGCUGUUCACUGUUCCCUGUUGUUGUCUCCCGACUCUUCCCUGUCCUUGGUCGAGGUUGAUUCCCGCAUCAUUCUACGUCUCCUCUUCUACAAUCGCCUUUCAGAUUUCAUUCUUGUCAUCCUGCGCUUCGAUUAGAACAAUCUCUUCCAAAUUCGUUCUCAUUCCUAAAGGCCCAGAGGAACUUCUUCUUGUUCUCUAACCUGCAAUAAUUUACUCAUUCCCAAGUUCUCUGCUUCUUUGUUGAUAAGAAUGCUGGUUGCAAGAAUGAUGCCUCGGACCGUGAACAAAUAUAGGAUGUGAAGUAACAGGGUUUCCAUGCGUACGGAUGCGAUUAUCUAUUAAACAUCUGCACGAAAAAAAAAGGAGAGCAGCGGGCUCUGCCAUUAUACAGAUUGAAUGAUUUACAUUGACAAUGGAAGUAUCAAGCAAAAGAGCGAGGUUGACGUUGCCUGAAUUUGGAGCAUAACAAACAGCAUCUCUACAGAAGUGGAAGCAAGCAGAAGGAUGAAGCAACGGAGAAUUUCGUGGAGUAGAUGGUGAAGAUGAGAGGGUCGGACAAAUCGAAAUAGGGUGGUGGCGGACAUGUCCCAUAUGGGUUGAAGGGUCGAGGUGAGUGUGACGGCUACUAGUACGCAGAACACCAAAUUUCUCGCAACUUGGUUCAAUUCAGAGAUUAGUCUCCAAUCCGUGAAAAGUUCCCCAAGAGAAAGAGGGCAGCUUCGAGUAAUGGAAGAGGCGUGUUGCUAAUGAUCUCAAGAGCUCCAAGAAGUGGAAGAGGCGUGUUGCCAAUGAUCUCAAGAGCUGAUCUCAAGAGCUUUAAGAAGUGUGUUAGUCUUUCAUUACUAGAAAAAAAUGAUAAUGGUAGAACUUUGGGGGCUUGAUAUAAGGAUAUUAAAAUAUUAAUCUAAUAUGUAUUUAGGUACAAGUGUGGAUUGUAAUAGGAAUUGGAUUAGUCUAUUGGAUUGACUUGAAAGUAGAAUAAUCUAUUGUGGGAUAUAAUAAUGUUUUAUAACCAAAGAAGGUAAUAUAAUUAAGCAAAAAUAUUACAAAAUUUGAAGUAUCUUUUUAUUUUAUUAUUCAUGUAAAGUAAAAUAAAAAAUUUAUAAUAAUAAUUAUUUUUUAUUUAAAAAUAUAUAUGUAUAUAUAUUUUAAAAAUUAAAAAUAAAGUUAAUUUAAUAAUUAUUAAUAUAAUAUAUAAUUAAUUAAAUAAUAUAGAAUUUGAAUAUAGAAAUUUUGCAAGAUAAAUAAUAAUAAUAAUAAUAAUAAUAAUAACAACAACAAAAGAUUUUAUGAAGUAAUAUAUUUUUGGCAUAAAUUAAAAUAAGAUUGAAAAUAGUGUGAUUAAAUUCAAUAAAAAUUUAAAUCUUGCAAUUUUAAAAAUAUAUCAAACUAGUCUAAUUUAUAUUAUAAAUUAGUUUUAAAAAAUUAUUAUUCCUUUAAGUAAUGAGAAUUUUUAAAAAUGGCAUAAGAUAGAAGUACAUCGUUGUUGUCAUUGGUUUUUAAUGAAAUAAUAAUAUAAAGUUUAAAAAUAGUUAUUUUUUUCUAAAUAAAUUCUCAUUUAAAAAUAUUAUGAGAUAUUGUUAUUGACAUAUAUAUUUAUUCCAAUAGUUACUUAUAUGAUUAAGUAGAAGUAGGUAAAUAUAGAUUAAUUUCAUAAAGUCUUCUAAAGAAGCUUCUUAGAAGAUAUAUAAACAUGGUUUUGACUUUAGAUGUAUUUAUAGGUUAAAAACUUAGCCAAUAAGUUAAUCAAAUGUUGAUAGCUUGUGAAACAAGCUAACUAUGUAGUGUAUACAUAGAUAACUUGCCUUGAAAGUUCUGACAUGUGGCUAGCAAAGUCAACACAUGUUGGAGGUCUUAUAAAAUAUCGCUACAUAGUUCUUACUUAGAGAGUAUAUAUGGAGGCAAGAGUAAAGCCUUCUUCACUCUUGUCAAUGUCUUUCUAGUCCUUAGUCUUAUUUCAAAACUUGUUAAUCUUCUUGUUUUUUACAAUAACUAUUCUAGUUCAAUAUUAUAUCAUCUUUGAGUGACUUUUUAGUUCCUUAUAAUGAUACAUGAGUGUAUUAAAGUUUUUUUUCCUUGAGAUUCAUGUCCUUGAAAAUUUGACAAGAGUACUAACUUAUUGUUUUUGUCUUGUUUUAGAAGUGAGUGGAUUACUCUACUUCUAUUGUUGUGUUUCAAAGGUUAUGAACUAUCCACCUUUAAAUAUAUAUAUAUUUUUAUUUUUUAACAUUAUUUUUUUUCUUAAUGAGAAUGAAUCAUCCUUCUUCAUGAAUUUUUUUAUUAGAGGUUGCGGAUUACCCUCUUUUAAUUUAACCUUUUGAAUUUCUUUGAGAUGUCUAUGGAAGAAAAGAUUAUGGAUGCUACUCUUGGAGGCGUGAGAAUAUAUUUGCAACUAUUGUAGAUCUUUAUGAGCUUGUCAAUACUCUAAGAAUAGAAAUCUCACAUAUUUCUAACAUUAAUUAUGGGAGUAUUAUGCCUAUACAUAUAAAAAAAGUUUAGAGUUUGUGACAAGAAGUUGUACAGUUGAAGGAAGCAAGUAGAUCGACAUCACAGCCAAAUCUAGGGGAUUUUGCUUCUACAAGUAUAACAAGGACAAGGAUUAGUAUGCCUGAGAAUUUUGAUAGAAUAAGAUCAAAAUUUUGAGGGUUUUUGCAAUAAGUCAACUUCUAUCUCAUGUUGCAUCCUUUCCAUAACUUCAUGGAUUUAUUCAAGUCGGAUUCAUAGGUAUACUUCUAUCAAGAAGUGCUCUCCUUUGAUUUGUACCUUUAAUAGUAAAAGAAUUAUAACUCUUUUAUAAUUUGAUUCAUUUUUAGAAGUAUUUACGGCCACAUUCAAAACAAGUGAUUGAAAAAAAAUAGGAAAGAUCAAGCUCUUAUCUUCAUGCCAAGGAUCACGAUCAGCCAUCAUAUAUGCUGUUCAAUUCCAAAACCUUGCUUACAACUUGGACUGAAAUGACAAAGUCCUUAUCAAUUAAUUUUGAUAUGGAUUAAAGGACAAUAUAAAAGACUUAUUACUGAUAAUAUCAAAGAUAAAAUCUUAGAAAAAAUUCAGUACUCAAGCCAUUAUAUGUGACAAUUGAUUAUUUGAAAGACAUCAAAAAUAAAGAUUUGGCUAGAAAAGAACAAAUCAAAUAAUGAUGGCAACUCUUAAAUUUUUAGAAACCUAUUCAUUAAGGCCAAAAGUAAUAUAAAUUGAUAUGAUAUGUUUUAAACUCCUCACAGAGCAAGAAAAGACUCAAUGAUGCCAAGAGGGAUUAUCCUUAUAUUUUAGAAAAGAUAAACAUAUCAUUUAAUAUUAUCCAAAGAAACAAUACAAUUACAAAAUGAGAAGCAUGAUUUCCAAAGAAGACAAUGUGUGAAAAAAUGAGUUACUCCAACUACAAUAGGGAUCAUGUGGCUGGAAUUAUGUGCAAUAUCUAGUAAAAGUCAUAUUCUCUAUUUAAAUCCCUUAUCUUGUUUUAUAAUAGAAGUUUGUUUAGGACUAAAAAAUCACAAAAUGUUAGCCUUGUUGGAUUCAAGAGCCUCGGUUUCUUUUAUAGAUGAAGACUUUAUCAAAAAAUAAGAUAUAUCCUUAGUUAAGAAAAUCAAACAUGUGCAUAUAGAAGUAAUAGAUAGACAUUCAUUGUCUUCUAGAGAUGUUAUACAUAAAAUUAAUCUUAUAGAAUUUAUUAAUAUAAAUAAGUAUUAUCAUAGAUAUAAUAAAGUAAGUAAGUAUUACCUUAAAUAAAAUACUAAUGGUCAAAGGAUAGGAAAAAGAUGAAAGAAAAAAACUAAGGUAGCAGCUAGGAUUUAAAUAGGGGUAGGAUUUUAAGUAGCAAUUAGGAUUUUAAGUAGUAGCUAAAUUAAGUGGAAUAUAGGAUUUUAUUGGAUGAAGCAAAGAUGGAUGAAGAUGAAGUUCAACCAUAAUAAAUAUAAAUUUCACCUACAAGUACAAGAUGUUGGAAAUAAAAGAUAUCUCAUUCCACACUUCUCUUAUAUGCAACCUUGCUGAUUUCUACUUACUUAUGUCUUGCUUAUUGUAUUUCUUCAAUAGGUUAUGGGCCCACUCAUACUUUGUUGUGCCAUUUAAGUAAGUUAAUAUCAUUUUCUUGUGGUUGUACUUGUGUGGAAUAGAUCUUAUGGUAUUUGUUGAUGUUAAGAUUUCUAAGAUUUAAACUUAUAUUUUGGGCAUGAAGACGUGCUAACUUUGACCUUAUAGAUCUCUAAUAUUGCUUUGUGAGUUUUUAUCUUCCAUGAUUGAGAAUUUAAGAUGUUAUAGAAAGACCUUGAUAGUAUCUUUUAUUUUAUUGUUCUUUCAUUCAUCUUAAGUGUAUAGUAAAAUAGUUGAUUUCAAAGAGUGAGAGUUCAUGAUAGUGAGGUUUAUUAGAGUACAUAUACUUCUUAGAAGCUUUAGAGCUUGAGUUGAGAAUGAUUUGAGUGAGAAAGCAUUCAUUUAUUCAUAAGAAGGGAUUCUAAGAUUAUACUAAUAUAAAAUUAUUUUGGUGAUUUCAAGCUCAUAGUCACUCUUUUUCUUGAUAUAUUUGAAUAGAUCCCUUCUUAGAUAUGGCUUCUAGUGAGAAUAAAGAUUUGAUAAUAAUUAAGAAGUUUAGAGGAGAGAAUUUUUAUCAUUGGAAGGUCAAAGUGAAGCUUUUGUUGGCAUCAUUGGACCUUUUCAACAUUGUAGAUGAAAGUGAAGAGGCUCCAAACAUACAUGCACAUGCUAAGAAGUAAAAAGAAUUCCAUAGAUGUGAAAAGAAGGAUUUUGGCAUAAUUACCACUAAUUUGGAUGAAGUCAAUUUUUCUCACAUCAUCUCUUACAAAAGUCCAGCAGAAGCAUGAAAGAUUCUUUGCAAUAUAAAUCAGAGCAAGAACUUGUCCAAUAUCAUCUUCACAAGGAAGAAGUUCUUCACUUGUAAGAUGGAAGAAGGUGAAGAUUUCAUGGCUCAUAUCAAUAAGGUCAAGGCUCAUGCAAAUCAACUAGCAAUUAUUGACAAACCUUUAGAAUAGGGUGAUAUUGUCAUGAUCUUGUAGAUGAAUCUUUUCAAGUCCUAUAAGUACUUCAUUAUAGUAUUGGAGUCUAUAAAGUUGAAAGUACUUACAAUGAACUACUUAAAGGCAAGACUUGCCUAUGAAGUGACAAAGAGGAAAGAAAAAGAGCUUCAAAGUGAAUAUUCAGCAGUCUAUUCAUGUCAAAGUAAGGACAACCUUUUAUAAUAAUGAGAUAAUAUCAAAAAUUGCUUCAUUUGUGGAAAACCAUGUCAUUUUGCAUGAAAUUACUACAAGCCAAAAAAGAAAAUAGAGAAAGUACCAACAAUGUAUAUGAGCAAUUUAAAAGAGAUUAUUUUAUAUUCGUGGCAAGUGAAGGUACUUUCAUGGCUGCUACAUCUAAGUGGAUUAUUGAUUCAGGUGCCAUCAAGCAUAUGAUACAAUACAAGUGUUCAUUUGAUACUUAUGAUUGCUCGUUUUAUUUAUUUCAGAAGAAACCUCCCUGCAUAAAUCCAUAUAGGAGGAUUCGAACACGGGGAAUGACUAGUUGCUUAAGCGUUCACGUUAAGGUUAUACAAUCAAUUACCUCUUGAAUGUAUUGUCUCUAUUUUUAAUAUCUGAACAUACAAAGAAACUAUAAUCUCCUCCUUCACCUUAUCGGUCUCUUCCUUACAACAAUUCUGUCAUACUAAUAACUGCUAUUUCUACCAAUAUAUUCAUCGUCAUAAUCUCCAACUAUAAUACUGCGCCCUCACAACUUUCAACACACAAUUACCCUCGUUCCAAUCACUAGAAUUCUUCACACAUAAUUGCCAUUCACGUUACAGUGUUUCACACAAACACAGACUUAUUCUCUCUGCUGAACUACAAUCAGAUUUCAGCAUUCAAUCUUUUUUCUUUUCAAAUAAUACCAAUCACAUUUCCAUUCCAUAAUUCACUUCACAAUAUUUAGAAACUCUCAAUCCUCUUAUUCAAAGAAAAUAACAAACAAAAGAAAAGAGGUAGCACCAAACUUAUCUCGGCUCAUACUAUCACAGCGAUGGUCUUCGGCUCAUGACUAUCACAGUCUAGCACCUUAAUUAAUUUCUACAACUCCUAUAUACUUUCCCCUGAUUCUUCAGAUUCUAAUCGUAAUUCUCUAAUUAACCACUUUUAAUAACUAAAUCACUCAUCCGUCCUCUUGAAUUUCCUAUUAUAUGGACUAUUAAUAUAUUUUACCAAUAUCUUUAAAAAAUGAAUUAAUAUCUAUUCUACAUAGCUCCACUCCUAUCUGUGCAGUGUCUUUGCAAACACUCAAUUGAUACCUAUCUAAAAAUUAUCUAACAAAUCUCCACAAAAAUUGUAAUCCUUCUGGUCUAUCUAAUUAAUCAAUUGCCACAGUAUCUAUUAUUGGUUCCACCGAUUCCGGUUCCAACUGCAAAUCUUCUUCUUCUUCCAAUCCUUCUAUCGACCUUUGCCUCAACUGAGCUGAAAGUCUUCAAUGUACUCGCCCAGUUCAUGGACUUGAGCCUCCAGUUUCAAGAUCUGGACAUCCCGAAGUUCCAAUUGUUGUUGCUACUGACUCAUCCAUUCUGGAAUAUCUUCAAUCGACACUUGUGACCAACUCCUCACUGUUAUGUCUUAACUGGAAUUACUACUCUCGAAAAUAUAAGAAUUAUAAGAAAAUGGCACUCCAGCCAACCCAAAACAACACCAUAGAAUGACUUUAAUUGGUGCCCCACUCCUAUUCUUUUACUACUUGGUGAUAAUGACAACAUGUUACCCAUACUGUCCAUGAAAGGUAAUGGGAAGUAAUCUUUCUUAGUAGCCAUAUUAAGUUUCCGAAAAUCCUGACAAUUUCCAUUUUUUUUCCGUACCAUCACGAUUGGUGACAUCCAUGCACUAUGCAAAACAUGAUAAAUAAAACCCAUGUCGAGAAGUUUAUCCAAUUCCUCUUUCACUAAAAGGGAAUAUUUUGGGUUAAGUCGGUAUUGUCUUUGACGAACUGGCGUAACACCCUCCUCCAGAAUAAUCUGGUGCUCACACACGUCAACUGAAAUCCCUUUCAAAUCCGCAUACGACCACGCAAAGGUAGAUUUGUGAUGGAUGAAAAACUAUUUUCAAGCAUCCAAUUCUAUACGAAUAAUACCGACAUAUAUUUUAAUUAGGUGUGGUAUUUUGUUGGUGCCGAGGUUAAUAGAUUGACACAUAAGGUCUUCAACAACCUCUGAUUUAAUUGUCUUCUCCUGAUCUGAAUAUCUUAUAUUAUCCGACAUAUGGGAACUACCAAAAUUUGGUUUCAAUGUGCUGACUCUAUUGACUGCAGAAUUGUUCAUCUAUUCGGCAAUAGCAUGAUCCGAGUUAGUCGUAUUCUCCUGAUGUAGUAAAUAUUCAUUGGGACUUCUACAUUGGUAGACUCAUGCCUUUGCUGUUGAGGUUUUUUGUCCUACCUCAAAUUGCGGUGAACCUAUAGCAUCGUCAUCUGCCUCAAUUGAUUGACUCUUGUUGUCCGAUGUAAAUUCUGAUUCUGGCAAUUGAGAUUCUCCAUAUUAUUGUACAGGGUAUAUCUGUAGAACAAUCUGGUCUUGACUUUUUUCAAUUAUCAAUGUGCCUCGGCCCCAAUCGUUCUUAGCUUUGGCUUGAUAAAGCCAUGGUCUACCCAAUAAAAUGGGAUACGAUAAUGUAGAACUCUGUAAUCGAAAUACAAUAUAAUCAAUUUUGUAUGUCAAUCCCACAAUUACAAUGGCAAUAUUGCGUAAGAUUUCCAUUGGCUUUAUCUGACUAUGAUCUGCCAUUCGCAAGACCAAUGUUGUAGGUAGCAAUUGCUUUAGAUCCAACUCCUCCAUUGUAUCCGCGUUCAUUAAAUUCACACUGGAGCCACCAUCGACUUGUAUCCCUGGAAUUAAAAUGCCAUCGAUUGAUACAUCGAUUGUUGGUGCUCCCGAAUCUGGGUUUAACCUAACUUCAUGAAUUUCUUUAGUACGAGAUCUUCGUCGUAUUAAUGUUGAAUUCAAUGUAGAUCGACAUUUCGGUGCUACAGCCAAAAGUUGCUUCAUUGUAAUUGAAGGCUGAAUAACAUCCAAAUCCUUCAGAAUGUCAUAGGGUUCCAUAUUGAGAGUAAUUCCCAAUGCUCUUUUGCGUUUCAUUGGUUUGAGUUUAACUCCGUGAGGUAAGAUAUUCUUCCGCCCUGGACUCAAAAUUGGAACAACAGCUGGGGCUUCUUUGGAAUUCUCACCCUCGAGAGGAUCUUUCAAUAGAUAAGACAUUUCUCGAAAUUGCGUAGAGAUCGGAACUACUUGUAACGGAACCGAAGCCUCCAUAAUUCGGACCUCAUUGGAUUCUGCCAUCGAGUCAGGUCUCAUACUGGGUACAAAGUCCGUAACAGGAUCUGGAUUGGAUGGUCCUAAUAAAUUGGCAUGUGGAACCGAAUUGGGUUCUUCAGUCUGUUGAGGUCUCAAUAUUGGCAUACGUCCCAAUACUGAUAUUGGUUCGUUUAGCCCCAUGGACGGCGCUACUUGCUCUCCUUUGAUCGGUUCAUUCAGGUCCUAAAUUAGAUUCUUAUCUUUUUGUUGGCCUUUGGUAAGCACUGCGUUCACCACCUCGACACAAUGUACUAGUGAGUCUCGUUGAACAGGACCUUUGUCCUCCGCCGGUUGGCUUGUUUGCAUUUGCUGGUCUCGGUUAUUAUAAUUAAAGGGCACAUUGCAUUGCUGAUAAGUGUGACCAGACUACUUACAAUUUCUACAUAUUAGAGCAUAGUCAUCACUGGCCCUUAGAUUAGGACAUUCACUCGCAUAAUGUCCGAUUUGUCUAUAACGGAAACAACGAAGUGGUCUUCUUGUACCCCCAUCAGGCAUAUUGGGUGCCUCCAUCGGUAUAUACCUACUAGGCUUGUUCCAUGUAGAGUUAGAAAAUGAUCUUGGUUGUCCCAUUGGUACUGAAGGAACUUGGUUUGAUGACGUUGGUGGAGCAUAUUGCUGAUACCUCUACUGCUCUUUUCCGUAGUUCUGGGGGUUCAAUGCAGAUCCCUGAUUAAAAUUGGAACUUUGAAAGUUAUUGAAUGCUCGAUUUUAUCGAUUAAAUCGAUUUCUAUUCCAUCCAAACAUAUUUCCCGUUUGUACUUGAUUGACGUCCCACUAGGUUGGUGGGAUCAUGGUCUGAUUACUAAAUUGUUGUUGUUGUCUUUGCCAAUUCCAACAAUUUGAUGUUAGGUGCUUUCCUCCGUAAAAUGUAUAUUGGUCCAUUAUUUGUGAGGGUGAGGGGCAUUCUGUUAUAGAAUGACCGUGGCCCUUACAAUUAUUGCACCAUACAUUGGUCUUAGUAUUGGUAGGCUUUUGCCUCUUCUCCUUAUCUUUGGCCAUAUUGACAGCCAUUUCCUCCAUUUUCUUCGUCAAAUUCAAUAACAAGGUUUCAUUGGAAUCUUUUAAGGCUGACAUUAUUGGUAUCUCUGCUGUAAUUAAUACUUGUUGUUGAUACAGAAAAUAUGGAGCAUACACUGUUGUCACGUUCGGUGGUAUAUCUUGUAAUGGGGUGACAUUAAUUGGCCCCUAAAUAUUGGUAUUGGAAUUGGCCCCUGUUUCUAACAUCUGUGGAUAACUACCCACUGAUUCGUUCCAAGUCGGAUUCUGAUAUCUACCUUGAAUUGGAAUUAUCAUGGCUCCCGCAGUUAAAAAUUGAUCAUAAUGGCAUUCCUCCCAAACCUUGGCUCUAUUAAGGGAUGUAGCCAUCGUAAUGGGUGGAGCUUCCUUUACAAACAUUUUUAGCUCUGGUGGAUGUAAACCAUUGAUUAAUAUGGAUAAGAUAAAUACCUUCGACAUUUGGUGAUUUGGCCACUUACUGAGUAUAUCAGCCACUCGGCCAUAGUACGAUUCCACCGCCUUCCCUAGGAUCAUUUUGCUGUUCAUUAACCUCUCUCGAAGGCAGUCCUCAAAACCAAUUGGCCAAAAACGAGAUAAAAAUAUAUUCUUCAAUGCUUCCUAAUUCAGAAAUUUACCCACUGGUUGGCAAUUGUAUUAUUCAAACGCCAUAUCUUUUAAGGUCGUUGACAGCCAUCGCAACCAAAUAUCUUCAGUUCUGCCAUUAUUAGCUACAUAUACUAUAAAAAACUGAGACAAAUGUUGAUCGGGAUUCGUACAUGAAAAUCCCCAAAAAAUAGGUAGUAACACGAUAUUAGUUGUACGAUUGUCUACUGCACCCAUUUGUACUGCAAUCAAAAUGACUGGUCUUCCUGAUGCCAUUGAAUUUCUUAUUCCGCUAAACUCCGUUUUAAAAUAAUCUCUACUUUCCCUUAUUCUAAUUUCAGAGCUCUCAGUGCUCCUCGAUUUACUGUUAUUUUCUGCAAUUAAUUUUAUUAGUUGAAUUACAGGUGAAAAUGUCAAAUUUUGAAAUAUAAUAUAGUUAUCUUUAUUGGCAACCAAUUUGUACCAAUUUGAAGAGCCACUAUUGCUUGUUUCAGUGAUACCCCGUACUGAAAAAAUACCCAAUGGAGUACCAAAUUCUUCUACCCCUCCUUCUCUUUCAGUUAACGACCUCAACAUUUCCACUGGAAUGUUAACAAAAAAUUUUUGCAAGUAUUUUUGGCAGUUUUUCUAAUGGUACAUACGACUACAGAAUUAACAGUCUGUCCGGUUCUUGAUAUGUUCGGAUGUGUCGACAAGCUUGCAACCAUGGUUUAAUCCAAUUCUGUCGAUGCUUCCUUUUAAGAUUACGUUCUUGCUCCUUUCUAAGCAACUUCCUUCCUUGCACUCUUUCCUGUCUUUCUCUCAACUGAUUUAUUUUUCUUGAUGCAAUGCUCUCGUUCUUAUUAAUCAUAAUCUUGCUUCAAAUACUACUGAAAUCGUCUUCUAUUGCCAAUUUUCUCAUACGUUUGGUAAUUAAUUCCUAAUACUCAAAGCUAUUAUCACUCCCUGGCAGUGGCACCAAAAUGUGAUUGCUCGUUUAAUUUAUUUUGGAAGAAACCUCCCAGCAUAAAUCCAUAUAAGAAGAUUCGAACACGGAAAAUGUCUAGUUGCUUAAGCAUUGUCGGGGUAGAGAGAGUUUGCCUCAAGAAAGCGCUAGACUUCUAGCUGUUACUAAAUACUCAAUCAAGUUUGGAAUAUAAGGGUGACAAUUUUAUAUAUAUAAACUCCUCUCCUUUGGAGCAAUUACAUCAAUAUACAAGCCUUAAAAUCCAAAGAACACCAAAAUACUUGAUAAGGUGUUAUAAAAAACUUAUAUAUCCUUAUGAGGAAUUUUUCCCGAAGUUCAACAGCUCAUAACUUACGAUCUAACCGUCUAAACAACUCCAAAUUUUACAUGGAGUACUAAUAUAUCUUUAGCAAAUACCACAUCAAAAUUCAACUGUAAAUUCGUCUUGAAUCUUGUGAUAUCUUGAAAACCCUAACUGUAGCUUCAAACCCUAGCUUUUUUACACCCGUGUACAACUUCCUUCAUAUCUCACAAAGUAAUUAUUCAAAUACUAUGAAACUUUGAUCUAAAGCUUUUUAACCCAAUUACACACACUUGUGAAAAUUUUGAGCCAAAAAUUCGUCCAAAAACUCAAGAUAUGGCUUCACCCAUAACUAGCAACAAAACGAUAUACUUACUGCCUUCAAAUUACAAGUGUUGUCUUCAAUGCCUCAUAACUCCUUCACCCAAUCUUAGAAUUCACUAUACAAUAAGUAGAAUGUGUAGCCGAGAAAAUGCUCCCUCCAAAUCCAGUCGCCGAUCUUCCGUUGCUCUCCGUAUUCGUAUGUGAUGCCCAAAAGAAGUGACAGUAGGUACGAAAUUGACACCUUAUCUUUGAACAUUCAUAUCUUUUCCAUAAAAACUCGAAAUCACACAAAAUCUUCACCCAAAUUAUACCCAAAAUCCUAAACCUUCUGACCCUAGCCUCAAAAGCUCGAAUGGCCUCGAAAGAGGAACCCUAAUUCCUAAUAUGGCCUCGGGCAGCCUCCUCAAAGCCCAUUGGGCAUGGUAUUCGACCAAUAGGGAUGAAGUUCUUCACCCCUUGCCUUCAUCCAACCAUGCCUUACUUUCAUCCUUCCCAAUAAGCCUCCUUCUAGUUAUAUUUUCAUCUUUUAACUCCUCCCUUCCCUUAAUCUUUAUACUAACUAUCUAAAUCUUAUAUAAUAUAAACUCUAUAAUCAAACUAGAUUAACUUCCAAAUAAUUUUUCUUAUUUCAAUUCAUUUUAAAUUAACAUACUAACUAUUCUAACUCACAUUAAGACUUAUAAACAUAUUACAUGUUUUCACUAAUUUUUACAUACUGUAAGUAAUUACAGUUCGACAACGUUCACGUUAGGGUCACACAAUCAAUUACCUCCUAAAUAUAUCAUCUCUAUUUUCAAUAUCUGAAUACACAAAGAAACUAUAAUCUUCUCCUUCACCUUAUCGGUCUCUUCCUUACAACAAUUCUGUCAUACCAAUAACUGUUAUUUCCACCAAUAUAUUCACCCUCAUAAUCUCCAACUAUAAUACUGCGCCCUCACAGCUUUCAACACACAAUUGCCCUCGUUCCAAUCACUAGAAUUCUUCACACAUAAUUGCCAUUCAUGUUACAGUGUUUCACACAAACACAGACUUAUUCUCUCUGCUGAACUACAAUUAGAUUUGAGCAUUCAAUCUUUUUUCUUUUCAAAUAAUACCAAUCACAUUUCCAUUCCAUAAUUCACUUCACAAUAUUCAGAAACUCUCAAUCCUCUUAUUCAAAGAAAAUAACAAACAAAAGAAAAGAGAUAGCACCAAGCUUAUUCCGGCUCAUACUAUCACAGCGAUGGUCCUCGACUCAUGACUAUCACAGUCUGGCACCUUCAUUAACUUCUACAACUCCUAUAUACUUUCCUCUGAUUCUUCAGAUUCUAAUUGUAAUUCUGUAAUUAACCACUUUUAAUAACUAAAUCACUCAUCCAUCCUCCUGAAUUUCCUAUUAUAUGGACUAUUAAUAUAUUUUAUCAAUAUCUUUCAAAAAUGAAUUAAUAUCUAUUCUACAAUACUUAUGAAGAAAUUUCAGCAAUAAAUAUCUUUAUGUGAGACAAUGGCAUGUUAGAAUAAGCUCUAUUAUAAAAGAGAUUGUUGUGAGAAGACAAACAAAAAGAAUCAGAUAGAAGGAUGUCUUGCAUAUAUCCAAGAUCAAGAAAAACCUCCUCUCUAUGAGUAAAUUAGUUUUACAUGGUUGUAAGAUGCAAUUUCAUAAAAAUGAGUGCUUUGUAAAGACAUUGGAUGGAGUUGAUGUUACCAAGGGCUUUAGAGAUGACAACCUUUAUUUCAUCAAGUGCAAGAUGUUGAAUGGAAUUAAAAUGGGUGCAUUUGUUGAGUUUCUACUUGAUCAAGACUUAUCAUCAAGUCAAGUUUUAACAUUUGGCAUCAAAGUCUUGGUCAUUUGAAUGCCAAGAGUAUGAAGGAACUCCAAUCCAUGGUAAGUGAUAUAGAUUUUAGUCAAUUUAGCCACAAUACCAAUAUAAUUACUUGUGAAGGUUGUAUUCAAAGUAAAUAAUUACAGAAUUGUGAAGGUUGUUUUCAAAGCAAAUAAUUACAGAAUCUAAAUAGAGUAGCAAUACGUACUAGCAAGUUGUUGGAGAUUAUAAAUUCAGAUGUUUGUAGACCUAUGAGAACGCCAUCAGUAGAAAGAACAUGGUAUUUUGUCACAUUCAUUGAUGAUUUUUCAAGGAAGAUGUGGAUUUAUAUCAUGAAAUGUAGGAAUGAAUGCUUUUUUAAAUUCAUCAAAUUUAAAGUACUUGUGAAAAAGUAAUUUGAUUGCAAGAUCAAGGUGUUGUACAUGGACGAUAGAGAUGAAUACAUCUCAAAGCAUUUUGAUGAGUUUUUAAAGAUUCAAGGCAUUGCAAGACAAACCUCUACUCUAUAUAUUCUAUAACAAAAUGAAGUUGCUAAAAGAACAAAUCGUACCAUUGUAGAGAUAGUAAGGGAUAUGCUACAUAUACAAAAUCUUGAGUUUGAGUAUUGGGUGGAAGCCAAGGUAACAACAAUAUAUAUAAGAAAUAGGUACCUUACAAGUAUACUUACAUCAAAAACUCCCAAAGAAGCUUGGAGUAGGAUGAAAUCUUGUAUUUCACAAAUAGAGACUUUUGAAUGCAUUGCCUAUACAAAGAUACCAGAUUGUAUGAGAUCCAAAUUUGAUGCAAAAGGUACAAAAUGUAUAUUUGUUGAAUAUUGUGAAGGCACCAAGGCAUAUAGACUAAUGGUUUUGAAUACCAAGAAGAUCAUCAAAAGUCAUGAUAUAGAAUUUUUGGAACAUAAGAGUACUUGUGAGCUUUUGAAGAUGUAUUUAAGUAGGAGUAAUAGUGUGUUUGUGGAUAUAUCUUCAAUUUCAGCAAAGAAAGAAAAAGAUGAUGAUAAUAAAGAUGGUGUGAAUGAAGACGAAGAAACAAUGAAGAUGAAGAAGAAGGCCUCUACAAUUCCUAGGACUAGCAAUGAAGAUGUUGAGGAUGUUAAAGAUGAUGAUGGUGAUGAGGAAUAUUAGCCUUUAAGUAAAAAAAGAUAAGAUUUAAGAAAGAAGAAGCUUGAAAGCAAGCAUGGAAUACAACAAGAUGAAUCAUCUUCAAAUAAAAAGAAAUAUCCUUUGAAAAAUAGAAAAAAAAUUAAUGAAUAAUAGAAGAACCACAUCUUUUCUCAAGUAAGUGAAGAAUAUGCCAAUAUUGCACUUCUUACUGAUUUAUUAAAUUUGUGUGAUGCAAUAAUGUCCAUAGAUAUAAUAAAGUAGGAAAAGGCGAUGGAAGAUGAAUACAAAUCACUCAUGGAGAAUGGAACAUGAGAAUUGACUCAACUUCCUCUAAAUCAAUCUUCAAUUGGUUGUAAGUGGGUGUUUAGAAUCAAAAGGAUUACGAUGGAUAAUAUUUUUAAAUAUAAGGUAAGAUUAGUUGCCAAAUGCUAUUCACAAGUUAUUGGUGUUGAUUUCAAUGAGAUAUUUGCUCCCAUGGCCAAAUUCACCACUAUUACAACCAUUGUAGCAAUUGGAGCAGCUAUAGACUUGGAGAUGCAACAAAUAAAUAUGAAGAUGGCUUCUUUAAAUGAAAAGUUAAAAGAAGACAUCUACAUGGAUCAAUCUCAAGGAUUUAUUGAAAAUACCAAACAACACCUUGUUUAUAACUUGAAAUAAUCCUUGUAUGAAUUAAAACAAUCACUAAAAGUAUGGUACCAAAGUAUUGACAUAGUAUUUAUGAAUGAGAGAUUUGUAAGUAGUAAAGCUAAUUAUUCUUUGUAUGUGAUGCAAUCAAAUGAAUUUAUAUUGAUUUUCAUCCUCUAUGUUGAUGAUUUGAUUAUAUUAAGUAACACCAUGAAGAAAAUGGAUUAAUUGAAGGCAAAAUUAGAGGAAGAGUAUGAGAUGAAUGACUUGAGUGAAUUCCAAUAUUAUUUAAGAAUAGAAUUUAUAAGAGAUUGUGGUAAUAAGACCAUUAUAAUAAGCCAAAGCAAGUACAUUGAAGAAGUGUUGAAAUAAUUGAAUAUAGAGGAUUGAAAGCCCAUUGAAACACCUUUAGAAGCCAACUUGAAGUUGAUGAAGCUCACAAAUGAGGAAUUUAUUGAGUUUGAAGAUGAAAUGAAAGAUGUUCCAUAUAAAGUAGUAGUAGACUCACUCAUUUAUGUAAUGGUUGGUACAAAGAUAGAUCUUGUAUAUGUAAUGAGUGUUAUGAGUCAACACAUAUCAAAGGCUAGAUCAAUCCAUUGGAUAACCAUCAAAAGGAUCAUGACAUACUUAAAAGAUACUUUAAACUUCAAAUUGUAUCUUGAAAGGAAUAAUAUUGCAUUACAUGGUUAUUAUGAUGCAGAUUGGACUAAAAAUGUAAAUGUUAGAAGAUCAAUAAUCGAAUAUGUGUUCUUUGUUGGAGUGGAAGCAAUCUCAUGGAAUUGCAAGAAACAACCAAUAAUUAUAAGAUCUACAAUAGAGCAGAAUAUAUGGCAGUAAGUCAUAGUACAAUGGAGGCAAUUUGGCUGAGACAAAUUUUAGAAGACAUUAGACUCGUGCAAAUAGAAGCAAAUCCAAUGAAGUGUGAUAAUCAAAGAUGUCUUACUUUUGUAAAGAAUCCAAAGCAUCACUUAAGAAUCAAAUAUAUUGACGUUCAACAUCACUUUUUAAGAAAUAAGAUUGAAAUAGAAAUAAUUGACAUAAAGUAUUGUACAACAUAAAACAUGCUUGUUGAUUUACUCACAAAAGUACUAAUGAAGAAUAUGCAUCAAAAAUUAAGGACACUAAAAUUAAUAGCCUUUGAUCAAUAGCAAAGUGGGAGUAUUAAAAUAAAUAAGUAUUAUUAUGGACAUGAUAAAUUAAGAAAGUAUUAUCUUAAGUAAGUUGAUAAUAGUAAAAAAGUAAAAAAAAAUAACUAAAGUAGCGGCUAGGAUUUAAUUGAGAGUUAAGUUAAGUAGAAUCUAGGAUUUCAUUAAAUAAAGCAAAGGUGGAUGAAGAUGAAGUUCAGCCAUAAUAAAUGUAAAUACCAUAUAUAAAUGAAAGAUGUUGGAAGUGAGAGGUAUCUCAUUCCAUACUUUUCUUAUGUGCAAUCUUGUUGAUUUUUACUUACUUGUGUCUUGUUUGUUGUAUUUCUUCAAUAGAAGUAGCAACUAGUAGUCACAAUAGUUUAAUAAUAUUUGAUCUGAUUAAAUCUCUUUUUAAUCCAAUUAUUUUAAGAUUAUUAUAAUUAAAAAGAUAUAACCUUUAGAUAGAUUGGAUUUCUCGCAAUCUUGAUUUUUUCCAUAGUUUAGCUCAAGGUCCUACUAGGAAAGUAGAAAUUCAUAAGUCUAGUACACUCAAACCAUUAUUGGUAGGUGUGAGAACUUUCAUGCAUGUUACAAAUGAAGGACCAUCUUUUGUUAUAUAUGCCAUGCCUAUUGUAGAUGGUGUGAAGAUAUCAAGUAGUAUUCCUAGACAAUAUCAAGUUUUUUAAGAUAUUUUUGAAAAAAAGCAUAUAGAUAUUCUUUCAGAGUAUUAUUCUUAUGAUUAUUUCAUUGAUCUUGAAGAAAAAACUCAACCAUCAUUUGGAUCAAUUUAUAGCCUAUCACAAAAUGAGUUGAUUGUACUCAAAGAGUAUAUUAAUGAGAAUUUGGCUAAGAACUUUAUACCCUAUUCUAAUUCUUCAACCGAGGUUCUUAUUUUAUUUGUGAAGAAAAAAAAUGGAUCUUUGCGGAUGUGUGUAGAUUAUCAAAGACUUAAUAAGAUCACCAUUAAGAAUAGGUAUCCUCUACCUUUGAUUUUAAGACUUCUUGAUCAACUAAAUCAAGAAAAACUCUAUACAAAAAUAGAUCUAUAAGAAGCAUAUAAUUUGGUCUGCAUCAAAGAAGAAGAUGAAUAAAAGAUUACUUUCCAAACUAGGUAUGGAUAUUUCAAGUAUAAUGUCAUGCCUUUUGGAUUCACAAAUGCACCAACUACUUUUCAACAUCUAAUGAAUGACAUCUUUAGUAAGUUUCAUGAUGAUUUUAUUAUCUAUUAUUUGGACAAUAUUUUAAUUUAUUCUAAAAAUAUAUAAGAACAUAAAUUUUAUAUUUGUUGUGUCUUAUAAAAAUUAAGAGACAAAGAAUGACAUGUGAAGAUGAAAAAGUGUAUAUUCUUUAUUAUUCAAGUAGACUUUUUGGGAUAUAUCAUUUCCAAUAAAAGCCUUAUGAUGGAUCUAAACAAAGUCCAAACUAUUAUAGAUUAGAUUUCAAGAGUAAUAAAAGUUGUGCAAUACUUUUUGGGCUUUAUCAAUCACUAUUGAAUCUUUAUUAAGAAUUUAUCUCAAAUUACAACUCCACUUACAUGUUUGACUUGUAAAGACAAAUUUUAGUAGAAUAAAGAAGCCAAAACAUCAUUUGUUGCUAUAAAGAAAGAAUUUACUUCUGCACCAACUUUGUAUCAUAUCAACUUUUCUAAGGCAUUCUUUAUGGAAAGAAAUGCAUUAAAGUUUACCUUGGGUACAAUAUUGUCAGAAAUGAAAAAACUUGACAAACUCCAUCUUGUAGCUUUCCAUUCCAAGAAAUUUUUAGCAAUUGAGAUUAACUAAUAGAUCCAUGAUAAAGAACUUCUUAAAAUUAUGGAUUCAUUUUAAGAAUGGCGUCAUUAUCUAGAAGGUGCUUCAAGUCAAAUUAUAGUAUAUACAAAUUACAAGAACUUCAAGUAUUUUAAGUUGGCUUAUGUUUUGAAUUGUCACCAAGCCCGUUGGAGUAUGUCUUUAUGAAGAUUUGAUUUCAAGAUUACAUAUAAACUUAAAAAAAAACAAGGUUUAUCAAAUGUUCUUUUUAGACGCUCUCAUCUUGCACCAAAAGAAAGAGACGUAUCUUUUUAUCAACAAAAAAUAAUCUUCUUGAAGGCAAAGAAUUUUUAUCUUUAAGUAAUGAAAUCAACAUUAAUUGUUGCUUUGACCUUUGUCAAACAAAUUCAAUCAAAUAUAUCCUUUCAUCUUUUUGUUCAUAAUAUUGAAAAUCUUUCUUCUAUGUCUUAUAAUGUUCUAAAAUUCGAGUUCAAAAACAACCUAUUCUAUUUUGAAAGACACCUAUAUAUUCCAAAAAGAGAAGUAUGUUUACGUUGUUGUAUUGUGGUUUAGCUACCAUGUGAAAAUAAUUGGUUUAUAUGUUUAAUACACAAUAUAUUAGACAACAUGGUGAAAGCCAUAUUAGUAGAUUUUUGUUGAUUAUAGGAUGUAGAUAGAUUACUAGCUCAAAAAGAAGUUGUUUAAAAGAUCUUCUAUUAGAAUUUAUAUGACUUUAUUUUCUUUUGAUAGUGACUUUGAAGUUGAUCUUAUUAGUAGUAAGUUUUAAAUAUUUAGAAUCACCUUUGUUAGAUAUUGGUGAUCAUUAAAGUCUUAUUUUGUUUCUUUUAUAUGGAGUUUAGAGCAUAUAUUGUGUAAAUCUUGUAAAGAAAAGUGUUAGAGAGGGAUUUUGGUAGCAAAAAGAGAAUUUAAGGCAUCCAUAUGGAUGAAUGGAGAUGGAUAAUAAAAAUCUCCAUUCUUAUUGGUCAAAAAUCAUGACCAAUGGGCUUUAAAGAGGCUGUCUGAGGCCAAAUUAGGGAUUAGAAUUAUACUUUUGAGCCAUUUGAGCUUUUGAAGACUAGAAUCAAUAGGAUCAAGAUUUUGACUAUAGUUUUGGUUCACAUUUUGAGUCAAUUAGAGUUUUUAUGAAGAAGACAUAGGCGCUCAAAGUCGACGUAUUGAUCUUGUACAUACUGUUGUUUUUUUGGAUAUAACAUAUGCAUACAGAAAGCAAUAGAGGAUCGGCAAUUGAGGUAGGAAAGAACACUUUUUUGUCUAUAGUUUUGGCAUACUAUUUGAUGGAUUCCAAGUUGGAAUAAAGGAGAUAUUGGAGGUUGAAAUCAGCGCUUACAAAUCUAAGAGAAGUAACUGAUCCGAUUCAUUAGUAAUUGUAUUUUAAGCUAUAUCUUGAGUAAUUUGAUAAGUUUUUGUCUCAAAAUUUCUAAAAAUAUAUAUAAUCAUGUUCAUAAACUUUAUGUAUAAAAUUUUUAGUAUUUUGAUUUCGGAUUUGUGAGAUAUGAAGAAAAUAGUACUCAAGUGCUUGUGAAUUAGGAUUUGAAGCACCUGCCAGGGUUUUUGAGAUACUUGACAAUUGGUAGCAAAUUUACAUUUGAAUUUUUUUGUAGUAAUUUUUAAGGAUAAGUUCUAUAUUAUUUGUAAAUUUGACAAAAAUAAAUUAUUGAUUCAAGAAAUAUGAAUUUCUAAAGUUCAUGAAGAAAAAAAUCUUUGUAGAAAACAUAUGUUUUGAACGAGUUUUAUUAUAAUUUGAGCAUUUUAUAUAACAUAAAGGGAUUUUUGGAAGUCAAGACUUUAUAUAUAUGUUGAAGAUGGAUAUUUGGAGCUAUGAUUAAAUUUUGAUAUAAAAAUGAGUUUUUGAGAGGAGAUUAUGGAUUUUCUUUGGAAUUAUUGAAAAUCUAACUUACUAGCAAAUGGUUUCUUAUGAUUUGGUAUAACUAAGAAUAUUAGGAAAUUCCUAGAUAUUUUAGAAAGCCUUAUAUAUAAACCUUUUUAAAUAUAAAAGUUUUUAUUAACAUGAUAUCUUUUUGAUAUUGUAAUAUUUAUUUAUCUUUUACUUAAAUGAUUAAAUAUCUUAUUGGAGCUUUGCUAAUAAGUUAAAAAUAAACUUUUUACAACUAGAUAUCUAGUAUAUUCUAAGAUAAAAAACCAUGAAAUAUGACAAUGUAUUCUUUAAGCAUGUCAAGACUUUCUAGCAGCAUGACAUUUUGGAUACAACAUUUUAAAGCUUAUAUCUAUAGAUUUUUAAUAGCCGCAAAGGUAGAAGGUGAUAAAAGACUUUGUCCAAUCAUAUGAUGUUUGUUCAAGAUCAAAAAUUCCUCGUCAAUAAUCCUAUAGACUUCUUCAACCAUUGCCUAUACUUAGAUAAUCAUGGUCUUCUAUUCUAUAAAUUUUAUUAUACAUCUUUUAGUUUUAAGUUCAUAUGAUUUUAUAUUUGUAAUUAUAGAACGCUUCACCAAAGUGGCAUAUUUUGUACUAUGUAUAAAAUCUAUUUUAGAUAAAAAAAAAAAAAAAAAAAAAAAUAGCUAAGCUUUUCAUUGACAAUAUAUAUUGCUAUCAUGGAUUAUCAAAGGAUAUUAUAUUAGAUAAGAGGACUCAAUUUGUAUCAAGAUAUUCAAAAACUCUAUUUAAGAUUUUAAAGAUAGAUAUAAAGCUCUCUUCGACUUUUCAUCCUCAAAGUGAUAGGAAAAUGAAACAUGUGAAUGAAAUUUUGGAGCAAUAUUUGAGGUGUACCAUCAACUAUGAUCAAGAUGAUUGGACAAUUUUUUUUCCAUCAUUAGAGUUUGUAUACAAUAAUUUGGUACACUCUUCUACUCAAAAAAUAUCUUUCUUUGCCAAUAAUGGUUAUCAUCCAUGGCUUGAUACUUUUGACUUUUCAAAAUUUAAUAAUUUUAUAAUAAAAGAUUUGGCAAAUCCUUUAUCAAAGCUACAUGUAAUAAUGAAGAGACAAUUAAAGGAAGCUCAAGAAUAACAAAAGACCAAUGCGGAUGCCUAUUGUAAAGAAUAAUCAUAAUUUAAUGUAGGUGAUAAGAUAUGAUUACUUCGUCACAAUAUCAAGAUUACUUGUCUUUGUGAUAAGUUGGACUAUCAUAGGCUAGAACCUUUUUAUAUAUGUGAAGAAAUCAAUCAUGUUGCUUAUCAUUUAUAUCUAUCGAUGUCUAUGAAGAUCCACCUUGAAUUUCAUGUAUCUCUUCUUUAGCCAUUUGAAAUAGUGAAUAUCUCAGAAAGAAGACAAAUGCCACCUCUUCCUAUGGAAGUAGAUAAUAAUGAAAAAUUUGAGAUAGAAGAAGUCUUGAUUAAAGGCAAACCAAAAUAGGACAGAAUAUCUUAUUUUUUGGUGUGGAUAUGAUAUUAGUGAAUGGACAUAGGAGCGAGUAAAGAAUCUUGCAAAUACAACAAAGAGAGUUAAAGCUUUUCAUCAAUGACAUCCAUCAAAACUAAGAUGAAUAAUAAUAAAUCUUUGCUAUAAUGAAACAAGAUUAAAGGAUGAUAAUAUUCUACCUUUUAUCUUUCUUUGUAACUUAUGUAUAUUUGUGAUGCUAAGAAAAUGGAGAAUCAACAACUUAUCAAGGACAAGAACUUGAUAAAAAUAAAUAAACAAGUAAGUCUUUUUUCAAAGAAAGAUGACAAAAUAGAAAUAACUAAAUAUGUAUAUUAAAAACGAAGCUGGAAUGGCUAUUGUCAAAAGACAAGAAAACUAUAGACCCUUGAAACUAGACUAGAAGCAAGAAAGAAGUUGACAAGAAUGAAGAGGGCUUCAUUCUUCCCUCUAUAUAUACUAUCUAUUUAGGAGCUAUGUGGCGAUGUUCUAUAGGAUCUCCAAAAAUGUGUUGACUUUGUACAACACAUAUCUUAACUUACAAGGUAAGUUUUCUAUGUGUGUGCCACAUAGCUAACUUGUUCCACAAGCUACCAACAUGUGUGGCACAUGGUUAACUUGUUGACCAAAUUUCUAACCUACAAAUAAAGUAUAAACACAUGUAAAGUCAAAGCAACAUCUAUAAAGCUUCUAAGAAACUUCUCUAGAAGAUAUUAUGAAAUUAAUCUACCUUUAUUUACCUCUACAUAUUCAUAUCACUUAAGUAACAAUUAUAGUAAAUAUAUGCUUGUGACAUUAUCCCCCCUUUUAGAGACGAGCUCCACGAGGAGUGGUGAUCAUAUGUCGAGAAAGUCUAAGAUAUGGCAAAUUGUAUUUGCCACAUACUCUGAUCUUUGUUCUCUUUGAAGAUAAUUAAUAGGGCCUCUCAAGCAUUGAUAGUGUCCCAUAUCAGGGCGGGAAGACCACCUAGUUAUUUGAUCAUUAUUGAGGCCUUCAUAACUUCCUUCAAAUAAAAUAUUUGGAACACUGUUAGGAGUUGUUUCUACCUUUAGUAAAAUCACCAAACAUUGGGAGUCUCUUCCAAGGUCGAGAUACCAAACGCAUUGUAUCUUGCCAUUUAUUCCAAGAAAAAUAUGUUGUUCUUGAGGAUCUUCAUCUCGAUUGCAUCAUCUUCAAGAUUGUAAUAAUUAUAAUGUCUCGUUCGAUAAGUCAGCAAACAAAGGCUCUUGAGUCGAAUCCACUGGUUGUUGGUUCUCUAUCUUCUCAGUGUCACAACUACAAAAAAGUUACAAACAAGAAUUGAAAGUAGAAUGUUAUCUUCCUUAGAUCUUGUUUCUUUUAUAAAGAAGGUUUUCAUCUUGAUUUCGAUGGAUGUCGUCGAUGAAAAGCCUCCACUGCCUUUUUUGUAUUUCUAAGAUUCUUCAUUGGCUCCCAUGUGCAUUCACUAAUAUCAUAUCUACGUCAAUGGAUAAGAUAUUCUAAUUUAUUUUGGCGUCGCCUUGAAUCUAGGACUUCUUUUACUUUGAAUUCUUCAUUAUUACCUAUUUCUAUAGGAGGAGAUAGAGCUUGUCUUUUUUUUUAUAUGUCUAUUGUCUUGUAUGGUUCAAGAAGAAAUACAUGGAAUACUGAAUGGAUUUUCAUUGACUCCGGUAGGUGUAAAUGAUAUGCAACUAGAUUGAUUUAUACAAAAAUAAAAAAUGGUCCAAGCUUUUGAUAUUCCAACUUGUCACAAAUACGAGUGGUCUUGAUAUUAUGACAAAGUAACCAUACCUUGUCACCCAUGUGGAAUGGUGGUUGUUCCUUUCGAUAGACAUCCGAAUUGAUUUUUUUUUCUUGAGCUUCUUUUAAUUGCACCUUCAUUAUUGCAUACAGCUCUGACAAAUGAUUUGGCAAAUCUUUUGCCACAAGAUUAUCAACUUUUGAAAAGUCAAAAGUAUCAAGUCAUGGAUGAUAAUCAUAAUUGAUAAAGAAAGGUGUUUAUUUUCUAGAAAAAUGUAUCGUGUUAUUAUAAGCAAACUCUGCCAAUGACAAAAGAGUUAUCUAAUCAUCUUAUUAGUAGUUGAUGUUACAUCUUAAAUACUACUUCAAAACUUCAUUAACACAAUCCGUUUGUCCAUCAGUAUGAGGAUGGAAUGCCGAAGAUAGUUUUAUAUCCACUUUUAGAAUUUUAAAAAGAGUCCGCUAAAAUCUUGAUACAAACUGAGUUCUCCUAUCUGAUAUAAUAUCCUUGGAUAAUCCAUGAUAGUGAUAGAUAUUGUCAAAAAAGAGCUUAGAUAUUUCUUCACAUAUGAUAGAUUUUGUACAUAGUACAAAAUGUGCCAUAUUGGUAAAACGAUCUACUAUUACGAAUAUAGAAUCAUAAGAACCUGAGAUUGAAAGAUCCAUAAUGAAAUCCAUAGAAAUAGGAGACCAUGGUUGUUCUAGAAUAGGUAAUGGCUGAAGAAGUCUAUAAGGUCGAUAACAAGUUUUUGAUCUUGAGCAAACAUCACAAGAUUGUACAAAAUCUUUGACUUCCUUCUACAUUUGAAACCACCAAAAAUCCUUGGAUAUUAGUUCCAAAGUUUUAUUGUACUUAAAAUGUCCUUCUACUGAAAAGUCAUGACGAGCUUGAAGAACACGUAAUCGAGCUUCAUCUUCUGAAACAUAUAAGCGUCCCUUGAAAUAUAGUAGAUUAUUCUUGAAUUCAAACUUCGAAGUAACAUGAGACUUUGAAGGAUUUUUCACAAUAUCACGAAUAAGAGGAUCAAAAGACAUACUUGACUAAACUUGCUUAAUGAAAGUUGAAUCAACAAUUAGUGUUGAUUUCAUUGCUCAAAGAUGAAGAUGCUUUGACUUCAAGAGAAUUAUCCAUUGUUGAUCAAAAGUAAUAUCUCCUUCCUUUGGUACAAGAUAAGAUCGUUUAGAGGGUGCAUCUAAUAAACCUUGUUGUUUUUCCAAUUAAUAAGUGAUCUUGAAUUUGAAUGUUAAUAAAGAUAUAAUCAAACGAGCUUGGCAAUGAUUCAAAACACGUACUAACAUAAAAUAUUUAAGAUUCUUGUGAUCCGUAUACAUGGUGACUAGACUAAAAGUACCUUCUAGAUAAUGGCCCCAUUCUUGAAACAAAUCCAUAAUUGUAAGAAGUUCUUUGUCAUGGAUCUCAUAGUUAAUCUCGGCUACUGAAAUUUUUCUAGAAUGAAAAGCUAUUGGAUGAAGUUUAUCAUCUGUUCCAAUUUGUGACAAUAUGGCAUUGAAAGCAAAGUUUGAUGCGUCUAUUUCUAUAAAAAAUGGCUUAAAAAAAUUGAUGAAAUAUAAGAUUGGUGCAGAAACAAAGGUUGUCUUCAAAGCUUCAAAUACUACUUCCGCUUCUUGAUUCUAUUGAAGUUUGUCUUUACAAGUCAAACGUAUAAGUAGAGGUGUAACAUGAGAAAAGUCUUUCAUGAAGAUCCAGUAAUAGUUAGCAAAUCCCAAAAAUCAUUGGACAUUUCUUACCAUUUUUGAAAUCUUUCAAUCCAUAAUAGCUUAAACUUUUUUAGGAUUGAUUAUAAGUUCAUCAUUUGAAAUGAUGUAUCCUAAGAAGUUGACUUGAAUAGUAUGAAAUAUAUUCUUUUCAAUCUUGGCAUAGAGUCCCGCAUCUCUUAGUUUUUGUAAUACAUGACGAAUAUGAAGUUCAUAUUCUUCUGUAUUCUUAGAAUAGAUUAAGAUGUCGUCUAGGUAACAGAUAACAAAAUCAUCUAAAAACUCCCAAAAGACAUUAUUCAUUAGAUGUUGAAAUGUUGUUGGUAUAUUUAUAAGUCCAAUAGGCAUGAUGUUAUAUUUGAAAUAUCCAUAUCUUGUUCGAAAUUCAAUCUUCCAUUCAUCUCAUUCUUUGAUGUAUAUUAGACUGUAUGCUCCUCAUAGAUCUAUUUUUGUAUAGAUCUUAGCUUGAUUUAACUAAUCAAGUAAUUUAGAUAUCAAACGUAGCGGGUACUUGUUUUUUAUGGUGAUUUUCUUGAGUCCUCAAUAAUCAAUACACAUCUACAAUGAUCCAUCUUUUUUCUUCACAAAUAAAAUUGGAGCUCAUGUUGAAAAUUUGGAAUAGUACAUUAAGUUCUUGGCCAAAUUUUCUUCAAUAUACUCCUUGAAUUUAGCCAACUCAUUUUGUGAUAAAUUGUAGAUUGGUCCAAAUGGCGGUUGUGCUCUUUCUUGAAGGUCAAUUGAGCAAUCAUAGGAACGAUGUUCCGGAAGAAUAUCUACAUUCUUUUUUUCAAAUACAUCUUGAAAAUCUAAAUAUUGGCUUGGAAUGCCACUUGAAGUCUUUCCACCAGUAGAAACAAGUGCUAUAUAAAUAACACAUGGUGAUCCUUCUUUUGUAACAUACAAGAAAGCUCUUGCAUCUACAAAUACAUAUUUAGUUGUACUAGACUUAUGACUUUCUACUUGGUUAACUAUAUUCUUAGUUAUACUUUCAAAAAAAUGAAGACUACGAGAAGUCCAAUCUAUUUUAGGAUUAUAUUUUUUUAGCCAUGAUAAACCUAAAAUGACUGGAUUAGAGGGAGAUCUAAUAAUAUUAAAUAUUAUAAAGCUACUAUGUCCAUUAGUUGAUACUUCUAUAAGAAAGAUUUCAUGAAUAACAUCUCUUGAAGACAACAAACGACCAUCUAUGACUUCUACAUAAACAGGUUUAGUUUUCUUCACUAAUAUUAUGUUAUGUCUUUUAGCAAAUUCUUCAUCUAAGAAACAUGCUGAGACUCCUCAAUCUAACAAGGCAGAGGCUUUGUGAUGUUUAGGUCCUAAAAUAACAUUUAUCUUAAAACAAGGAAAAGAUUCUUAGGAGAGAAUAGAACCUUCAGUAGAUGUUGUAUAAGGUUCUAGCCACACAUUCUCUAUUGUAAUUGGACAAACUCGUUUUUUGACAUACUAUCUUUUUUGAUAGUUGUACUCUUCAUUUUAUAGUUGCAUCACUUCUUUGGGCAAUGUUGAGCAGUGUGCUUAGGUUUUCUACAAUAUAAGCAUAAUCCUUCCUGACAACAAUGUCUCUUUUCUUGCUCAGUAAGAGGUUUGAAACAUAUCACAUCAAUUUGCAUAUCUUCUACUCCCGAAUGUAUGUGUUGAAGAGAUGAUGGUAUUGCCAUUGAAUUAUAGUAAUGUUAAGGUCUACUUGUAUGGUUCUUAGAUCGAAAUUUAAAAAGACAAUUGUUGCACUUCACAGCGAAGUCAAUUGCUUAAUUCAAUGUUUAAGAAUUAGAUAAGUUGAGCAUUAAUUUUUUUACCUCAUAUUGUAAUCCUUAGAGAAAUUGGCUAACAAGUGCAGCACCAUUCCACUUGAUAUCAGUUACAAGUUGUCAAAACUGUGAAUCAUAUAACGUUAUUAAUCCAUUGCCUUAUCACAAAAUAUGGAUCUUGUUGGUUGCAACACGAAUUACAUCAUGUUCUCCAUACAUUGAUCAAAACUUUGCCAAAAAAACCUCCAGAUUAUCCAAUAUUAGAUCUCAUUGUUCAAGAAAAGAUAAAAACGAUGAUAAUGCUGAAUCUGAAAGAAGUGUAAUAAUGAAUCUAACUUGUGAUCUUAGAGUUGGAUAGCUUUGGAGUUGAAGUUCAACCACAAGUUGUACUUGAUUGAUAAAUCCUCUAAACUUUGAUCUGGUGCCAUGAAACUUCUCGAGUAGGGUAAUUCUUGGUUCUCUAAUACUAGAAGGAUGUUCUGUCAUAGGAAAAGAGAUAUGAUUUAGUACAGAUGUUGAAGCAACUUCAAUCAUUUCUAUAUCUUCACUUCUUGCCAAUCUUGUUGCUCUUUGUAGUAGUAAAUUAAAUGAAUACAUUGCAAGCAUUAACUUCCUUAAUUGUUCUUACAUUUGUACCAUUGUACUCUUUAUUUUAGCAAGUUCUGCCAUGAUAAUACUUAGAAAAGAGGAGAUGUCUAAUAUCGCUCAAGAUACAUAAAAAAGAAGACUUAAAAACAAAGAAAAUACUAAAAAUAAUAUUAGUUUAGAAGAGGGUAAUCUGCAACUUCUAAUAUGUUAUGUCUUAUGAAGAGAAAAGAAUAAUCCACUCUUAAUCAAGAUUAGACAAAGCUCUGAUAUUAUAAGUGCAUUCUUGUCAAUCUAUCAAGAACAAGAACUUGAUAAAAAUAAAUAAACAAGUGAGACUUUUUUCAAAAAAAGAUGACAAAAUAGAAAUAACUAAAUAUGUAUAUUAAAAAAGAAGCUAGAAUGGCUAUUGCCAAAAGACAAGAAAACUAUAGAUCCUUGAAACUAGACUAAAAGCAAGAAAGAAGUUGACAAGAGUGAAGAAGGCUUCAUUCUUGCCUAUAUAUAUACUAUCUAUUUAAGAGCUAUGUGGUGACGUUCUAUAGGACCUCCAAAAAUGUGUUGACUUUGUACAACACAUAUCUUAACUUACAAGGCAAGUUUUCUAUGUGGGUGCUACAUAGUUAACUUGUUUCGCAAGCUACCAACAUGUGUGGCACAUGGUUAACUUGUUGAUCAAGUUUCUAACCUACGAAUAAAGUAUAAACACAUAUAAAGUCAAAACAGCAUCUAAGAAGCUUCCAAGAAGCUUCUUUAGAAGAUAUUAUGAAAUUAAUCUACUUUUAUUUACUUCUACCUAUUUAUAUCACCUAGAUAAUAAUUAUAGUAAAUAUAUGUUCAUGAUACAACUAGUAGAUUCAAUUCAAGUGUUUUCAUUUCCGGACUUACCAAAUAAAACAUUGCGAUUGUCACAACUUUUAAGAUGAUGAAAUCAAAGUAAAGAUUCUCAAGAAUGAUAUAUCUUUCCUCAAAUACAUAGCAAGUUAUAACAUGUUUGGUAUCACAACUUUGAAAGAGAGUCGUGAUGUUUGAUAAUUUUAUUAGAGGUAGGAACAAUUCCUGAUGGUGUUCCAAAUAUUUUAUUUGAAUGAAGUUACAAAGGCCUUAACAACAAUCAAAUAACAAGGUGAUCUUCUCGCCCUGAUAUGAGACACUAUCGAUCGUUGAGAGGACCUAUCAAUUAUCUUUGAAGAGAACAAAGAUCAAAGUAUGUCGCAAAUAUAAUUCAUCACAUCUUAGAUUUCCUCAACAUAUGAAGAUUGCUCUUCUUAGAACUCAUUCUUAGAAGGGAGGAUAAUGUCACAAACAUAUACAUUUAUCUUAAUAAUAAGUGAUAUGAUUAGGUAGAAGUAAAUAAAUAUAGAUUAAUUUCAUAAAGUCUUCUAAAGAAGCUUCUUUAAAGUUGCAUAAACAUGGUUUUGACUUUGGAUGUGUUUGUAGAUUAGAAACUUGGCCAAUAAGUUAACCUCGUAUUAGAAGCUUGUGGAACAGUUUAACCUCGUAUUGGUAGCUUAUGAAAGAAGUUAAUUCCGUGUAGUAACUUAUGGAAUAAGCUAACUAUGUGGCGCAUACAUAGAUAACUUGCCUUACAAAUUAAGACAUGCGGCUAGCAAAGUCAACACAUGUUGGAAGUCCUAUAGAACAUUACAUUAUAGCUCCUACUUAGAGAGUAUAUAUGGAGGCAAGAGUGAAGCCUUCUUCACUCUUGUCAAUGCCUUUCUAGUCCUUAGUUUUGUUCCAAAAUUUAUUAGUCUUCUUAUUUUUGGCAAUAACCAUUCUAGUUCAAUAUUUUAUCAUCUUUGAGUGAUUUUUUAGUUCCUUUCAGUGAUACAUGAGUGUAUUAAAGAUUUUCUUUUCUUGAGAUUCAUAUCCUUAAUAGAUACUAAAGAAGACACUUUUAAAUAUUAUUAAAUAAAAUUAAUAUUAUAUAUAUAUAUAUAUAUACAUAUUUAAUUUAUAAUAUUCUACAUUACAUCCAUCAUUUACAUAAAAAUAUAAUUAUGAAUAAUUGCAAUAAACAUAUUUAAACAGCACACAUUUCUACCAUCAUACUUCUUUUUAUAAUUUUUCCUAUAUUUCAACUACAAGAAUAAAAUUUACAAUCCUCAAACUUUUAUCCGCUUAUGUAUCUCUUCACUUAAAUUCCAGUAGAUCCUGAUUUGGGGAACAUUCACGAAACUGAACUCCAGAGGUCAUUACGCUCCCAAAGCCUGCCUGAGAAGGGUGUUUUGGUCGGUAGGGCCAUAGAUCUACAAAACUUACGUGUGACACAGAAAGUCUACGUUUUCGCAAGAAAUCCCGUAUUAUGUUCAUAAAAUGUUCAUUUAGAUUUUAGGGUUUAGUUCACGAAGAGGCGGCUCAUUGCUUUGAAUGGGACGAGCUCUUCACUUGCUCUUCCUUCUUAGGUCGCGCUUGCGUUGUCGACUCCGCGACUCAGAAAAAUUCCUCGUCAUGGGUACUUGCACUUUCCCGUAGGUUGUGUUGGUUACUGGUGUUUUGUGCGAGUUUUUUACUAGAUCAUGGUGCGCUAUUUCGCAUUUUUUUGUAGUCAGAGCCUUCCAUUGUAGUUUAGGGUUUAAAGCUCUAGCGUCUUGUUGUGGCCUGUCUGAGAUUCUGUUUUUGAUUGUGUGUCUUGAGGAGCGGUUGAAAUUGUGAUGUUGUGUAUUCGACUUCGAUAGCUACGUUGCACCGGUGUUGCUUCAUGUUGUUAGUGUUGGCGAAUUGUGUAUGGGGUUUCGGGGUCUUAUUUAUUUGUUUUGGUUUGUUUAGGGGCGUACAAAUACAUUGAGGAGCUAUGGCGGAAGAAGCAGUCCGAUGUGUUGCGAUUCUUGCUUCGUGUGCGCUGCUGGGAGUACAGGCAGCUUCCCGGCAUUGUCCGCGUCACUCGGCCUUCUCGGCCUGACAAGGCUCGUAGACUAGGUUACAAGGCUAAGCAAGUGCGUGUCAUUAAACCGAUUACUUCUUGUUACGUUCAUGUGGAUACUUUAUGUCGUUUGUUGUAGUUGCAGUACUGUUGUGCCUGGAGGUACUCGUCAGAUCCAAAAAUGUAUGCCUUUAGGUUUCAUCGCGGCUCGCAAUUUUCCAAGUUCUAGGCUCAUGUAAGUUAUUUUUCUGUUAAAUACCCAAAUUAUGCGAAUUACCACUGUCACUUUAAAAAAAUAGAAUCACAAUUAGUUUUCGCGCAGAACGAUACACAUAACUCUCGACAGCCAUUAUCUUAGUCUCUAUGGGUCAAAUUAGAGUUUGGUUGUUGUUGUCGUAGGGUUCUGCAUACAUGGAUGUUGAUGAGAUUGAAGCGUACACACCCUUUGACCUUUUCCAUCUACAAGUAUUCUCCACGUCCUGAAUCUGUAAUCGUGGAUGACGAUGCGUCUGUUAGUUAACGCGGUACUAGGUAUGUUUUUGGAAUAUGUGGCGUCAUGUUAUAAUCGUACAUCUCGAUCCUCGAGAGUUGACUUUUGUCUUGGUAUUUCCGCCAUUAUGUAUACUAAUAUAUUUUCUGCUGUCAGUCUUGAGUAAAAUACAUUCUCUUGCUUGUUUGUCUCCUUCAAUUUCUUGUGGGGUACUUGGAGCUGAUUAUUUCUGUGUGUUUGUAUCAGGGCUACGUGGUGUACCGUGUUCGUGUGCGCCGUGGAGGCAGGAAGAGGCCUGUUGCUAAGGGUAUUGUGUACGGAAAGCCAAAGAACCAGGGUAUUACACAGCUCAAGUUCCAGCGUAACUUGCGGUCAGUUGCUGAGGAGCGUGCAGGAAGGAAGCUUGGAGGCCUGAGGGUCCUCAACUCCUACUGGAUCAACCAGGACUCAACCUACAAGUACUUUGAGAUUAUCUUGGUGGAUCCACAACAUACUGUAAUCCGCAAGGACUCAAGGAUCAACUGGAUUGUCAACCCCGUGCACAAGCACCGUGAGUUGCGUGGAUUAACUUCUGCUGGCAAGAAGUACCGUGGUCUUCGUGGUAGAGGGCACUUGUACACUAAGGCUCGUCCUUCUAUUCGCGCUACAUGGAAGCGCAACAACACUCUUUCCCUCAAGCGUUACCGAUAGAGGGCGUGGAUGUUGGGAAUUGCGGUGGUUUUCCAUGUCGCCUUUUUUUUCUAAAAAUGCAAGGGCUUUUCAAAAAGUUCGGAAAUCCCCUCUUGUGUUCAACAUCACGUUGUUUGUUUUGUUGAUCUUCAUUUGCAGUUUCCUAUUCUUGUCUGAGCGCACACGACCCCUGAUUUGUAGGUGAUUCUGUUCAUGGUCGUAGAGGUCUUUUCUGUGAAUUUUACUUGGAUUAUAUCCCUGCAUCUAGAAGGAUAUGUGGCCUUAAAGCUCGUAAUUUGUUGUGAUUAUAGCCAAUGGGUGUUCUUCACCAGGAUUGUACUGUUUGGUACUCUCCUCGUCUGUGGAGGUCUCUUGUGGGCGGACAGAUUUGUGUCGGGAAUAAACGAUGAUAACUUCAGAACAUAUGUGGUGAACCCUCAAAUGAUGAAAGGAGACUAGUCAUCAAUAGAUUUAGCCUGAGAAAGUCGUGGGUAAUCGCUAUAACACACUUCACCUCCAGGUCUUUACCUCCCUCGCUGAAUCUGAAGAAUGGUAAGCAAUGGUCCGGAACCAACCUGCUACUUCGCCGAUCAAGUGCUCUUGACGGCUGAAUGUGUGAGACGUCGAGAUUGUUGAUGAACUAACUUUACAUCUCUCUUAACAUCCGUUACGACAGUAUAUGCUGACAAUCGAAUGACGCAUGACAUCUUGUCAAAGAUUUGCUCACUUAUUAUUCUCCCAGCAGUAGCCGCAAUCAAACGCUUCUGUACAAUUCGGUAGGAGAUUCCAUUCAUAACCACCUCGUAACCUCUACAUGCAGGAUCCCGAACAUCGACGGAUCUAGCACCAGGACAAUUGGCGAAAAGGAUUGGUAACCAGUCAAUUUCCACACUAAACCAAGCUCGGGGAGAAUCGAAGAAUAGACAUGGUAACAACGGAAGUUUCCAAACUCCGUCCCUUUGUUAUUGCUGUGGCUCUCAUAUUGUACGAGACUGCGCAGCUUUUCUCACUGCUUCGAUUCCGAAGCGAUAUACCACUCUUUGCACACUGCUCCCCAUCGCUCAACAGACGGCCCACCUACAACCGAAAUCCAUGUGAUGCUUCAAUACCAAGCAACAACAACGACUCAAUAGCGUCGCUGCCGCAGCUCGAAUCUAAAUCGGUCUCGUCCUUUAGUCGAUGAAGCCUCACAUCUGGGUAUCAUCUGAGUUUCAUCCUCCCAAGGUACUGGUAUCAAUAUACCGAGGGCAUCAACCCUAAAAACCUGAAUGCCUUUCACUUUUUCUUUCCUAAUUGCCUCGCUGAACAUGGAUGAACAAAGCAACCACGAUUUCGUCCAACUCGGCAAAAGUGCGUCCACGUCAUCAAUCUGGCAGGGUAAGAGUCCACGGUGUCUGCCACGGAGGAAGUCAGAAAUUACACGGAAAGCUCCAUUGAUCGACGCCGAAGCCACUGCUCCUUCACGACUUCAGUUGCCGCUGUUGCGGUAUUUCACAUUUGGAUUGCUCCAUAGCUGGUGAAAAUCCUACUAUUCUCCGCGGAUAACUCCGACUAGGAUCCUUGUAUGCAUGGUCAGGCUCCGGACGUGGCUUUCAUCGCCUUCAGUGGGGUAUUCUGAAGGUGGUGGUGGAGGAAGAUAUACCGACGUGGUGAAUUCGUGCUAGGUUGAAUUUGGAGAAGGGAAGAAGUUGCGGUCAUUUGGGGUUGAAUUCAUCGCGAUUUUGUGUCGUUUCGGUAUCUUGUGCGGUCUAGGAUUAUUGGGUUUUGAAGCAACUGAACUAUGGGAGCCACUUCGGGGCAGUCGACGCAACCAUUCAUAGGAAAUGAGCAGCCGCAAUCAAAUGCGACGGUUGAGCAUCAUGGAUAUCCCGUCAUUCGGUCGGAACCGCCGCUCGCCGUCAAUUACUACGGGGGUAGCCACCAGGUUGUGCAUGUGUACACGGACAACGACUGGACGACGGGGAUCCUUGGGUGCAUGGAAGAUGUCCCGAAUUGCGUGUUCACCAUGGUCUGCCCGUGUCUUGCGUUCGGGCGCGUUGUUGAGCAUCUGGAUGAUGGGAACACUCCAUGUAUUACAGCAGCGCUUGUGUGGUAUGUGAUUCAGCAAUUGACGUCGUGCGGGUGUGUAUACUCUUACGGGUAUCGUAAGAAGCUUAGGCGCAAGUAUAACUUGCCUAGUCGACCAUUGCCAGAUUGGUUCGUCCAUUAUUUCUGCUGGUCCUGCGCAAUCUGUCAGGUGAUGUUCAAUGCUCCUCUCGCAAAAUUGCUGUGCAAUCUAGUGGUUUGUUAACUAAUAGAAAUAAUCGUUUUUGCGGUGUAGAACUCUAGGUGGCGAUAUAGACUUUUAGAGUGAUCCCUUUCGUUACUGGUUCUAAAAUGAUGAAUGAGGAAAAGUAUGAAGAAGAAAUUAGGUUACAAUCCGGUACUUCAGCGUGUUUGCAUUAUUAAGAACAGGGCAUGUUCAGGAGAGUUUGGUAUAGUCUUGCCACGCACACGGUAACCUUCGUCAUGAAAACAGUGUUUUGUUUUGCUGAUUCUUGAGUUGAGUUGCAUUUUAAAGCCCUUUUUGAGCCUCUUGCUCUUAAUUUGAUAGCUUAUCAUCAUUCAGAAAAUUCAUCAACUACUUUCAGUUUACUUCUUGUGUCGUGUCGGUGUGCAAAUUCACACAUGAAUUGUGAUGGAGAGAAGGAGAUGCCUAUAUCUGUCCAUGUCAGAUGAGUGCAUUGCCGCUCGAUUACUUUUUUUUUUCUUUCAUGGAAUUGCUUGUUCCUGUCUCACAGAACUAAUCGUUGCUUGCCCUGAUUCAGGAGACCCGAGAAAUCAAGAACAGAGAAGUGAUCAACAGGUAUUAUGCUGGCGGAGUUAUGCUGCCACCUCCACGUCAAUCGUUUCCACACAGGUGGUGAUGUUUCAUAAUCAUAGCAUGUACAUUUAGAUUGGAAUUCUAUCUUAAUGGUCUUGCGGGUCAGCCAGACUUGGCAGCACAUUUGCCUAGCGAAGUAAACGAUUUGUAUGCGAGGAAAACGUGUACUGCAAGCUCAUGGUGGCGUGAGCUCAAACUUUUUAACUUUGGUGCACACAGAUUCAUGCUGACCUCUUUGGCAGAGUGUACAUGAGGUGGUGAAGUAUCUCAUACACAAAUUUCACCGAAUAUUUUUGCGGGGCAACUUAAGUGAAAAUGCCUUGUGCUUCUGUGUUUGUACAUGAAAAAGCACAGUACCCGAUGAUUUUAGAUAAUUGUUUUUAAUGUAAUAGUAUUCAUGAAAUAGUUGACUAGACUAUAUCCGAUCCUACAUCAUAGGUUGGUCGAAGUUUGGCUUGAACAGUCUUGAUGAAAACAAAGGGUCAGGUAGGAUUGAACAACGAAAUUGAUCUUGAUUUUUUAUAAAGCCUCAUGAAGCAAACCAGAGACGAGAAAAUGCAAAUGAUAAAAUCCAUUUUGUGCUGAAUAUGAGAAAGUAUCAAAAGCUAAGUUUUUGAACUCCUAUACAAUUACCAUAAAGUACCCAAUUAAUGAUUUUUAUGAGUCUAGAAGCAACUGAAGGUACAAUUUUUGAAAAGUUGAAAAACAAUGAAAAACAAAGGCGGAUUUGUGUAUAGAGUCAUAAAUUUAGUAACGUAAUAUGAGUUAGAGGUGGUAAAAUAUCAUUGUACACUGCACGGAAAUUAGCAUUCUAAAACUGAAAAAGAAAAUAUCACUAAUGAUUUGAAUGCCUUCUAUAAGACAUGGUUACUUUGGAAAUAUUUCUUCGAAAUUGAAAAAGGGAGGAAAAAAAUUAGAUCAAAUUUAUAUUAAAAGUCAAGAAACACAUGCAUAAAGUUAACAUUUUCUUGAGUUAAUUAAUUAAACCCACAAACAUAGAAAAAAAAGAAACACAAAACAAAAAAACCAAACGAAAAAAAAGGUUAAAAGAGUUCCAUUGAAUAGUAAUGUUGGCCAAACUGAGAAACUUCUGUUUUAUCUUAAUAAAUGUCGAAUUUAUGGUUUUAUGUAGAAAAAAAGUAUUGUGUGCAUAUUGUCUGGUGGAAUGUUAUUGGUUUCAGAAUUGAAAAUUAGAAUAUAUAUGUAUAUAUAUAUAUAUAUACAUGCAUAAACAUGUACCCGCUUUGCUAGGGUAAUGAAUGUUAGACCUAAAAAAGUAAUAAAAUGAAUAAUCAACUUAUAUGAGAGGGACGUCAACUAGCAAUAUGGCUAGAAUACCUUCUCACCUUCUGAUAGUUCUAAAAGUUUUUAAUUCACUUGCAGUGAAGCGGAAUAAUCUCGACCAUCUAUUCUACAUCAUUUCAACACAUCAAAACGAUUGUAAUGAUAUGGGUAUUAAUGAAGACAUGCUAAAAUUUCAACAAUUUUAUUAGUAGAGGUAGGUUGGGCCAGAUGAGCACAAUUCAAGAUUAAACAACCUUGACAUGACAGACUGUCAUUGAAAAUCAAAGUCAAUUGAAAUCAUACUGUUCUAAAGUAAAUUUCACCCCACGAUGAUUACUACCAUCACAUCCAAACUCUAAAAAAAUUAUAUUGAAAGUUCUGCGAGAACGGAUACGAGGUAAAAAAUGACAAGAUAUCCAGAUGACCCAUGCGUCAUAAGCUCCUGCGACAGACACUAGAAGCCUUGUACAAUGUGUACAGCAGUCAUGUGCAAGUAACUUUUGAAGUAAACUGUCAAGUACACAACGACAAAAGAAUAAUAAUGUAAACCGUGUAAUCAGAGGAUGAUGAAGCACUCAUUCAAAAUCCAGCCAUAAAGAAAACUAGAACUUGAUUAACGCUGUUAACAUUAAGAAGGUAGGCACAACAAUCCAGAGCACAAGAAUGCUAUCUAAAUGCAUUACUUAGAAGAACCCAUAUACAUUCCAUAGUGGUCAACCAUACCAAGACUAGCCAUAAUUCUCAAAUGAUAGACCUAGGUAAGAUCAACACAAGAGAAGCACAUAACCAAGCGAGACCAGAAAAGUGAAACCGAACACAACCUUACCUUGUUGAAAUCAAGAAGCUCAUGACCAACAAGGCUCAGACUGUAAGAAUUCAAAUUGCCGAUGCUGUAUCGCUGGAACGGGCUACCAAGAAGCUGAAAAGAUACUUAAAAUGUCACGUUAGCGGAUUGAUGUGAGUAGGUAAUCCCACUCACUCCUACCUGAGUACUGCGGGAAGAGGCAGGGAACAAAUGAAGCCAAUAGACUUCUUUAAUUUUCCAACCUGAUGUGCUUUGGGUGAGUUCAGAAGUUCAAAGAAAUCAAAGCGCCUGAUUGACUUCACCUGCCUUUGGGCCUACUUGAGCUUCAAACCCUAAUUACUAUACAUAAACGAUUCCCGAGGGUCGCUUCCAUAAUACAAGGGCUUUGUAGACUCAGUUAAAUUGCCUUACAGCAGGAUCUCAAGACUUAUGCCAGAAUUUCCUCUGUCAUGUACACAUCCAAUCGGACAUCAAUCAAAACAUAGCGACCCUCCGUAUCUCACAGCACCCGUAACUCCGCUAGGAAAGCUGCGCAUAGGUCGAGAAAGAGAUAUGUGGGACCCACUACUCUUUGCAGGUCCAGCAAAUACUUCUCUUCUCGCAACUUGAAGAGCUGCAUUCAGAAGAUACAGGCAGAAUUUGUUAGCAUUGCACUUGUAAUGACUUGUAAAAACUGAUUUGGUUUCAGCAACGUAUCAUAAUCUGCACAAAGUCCUGCAAAGCAUGUGAAAUGCUACGAAAAGUUCCUAGAAAAGGAAACUUGUUUGAUCCAACUUCCUGGUGUUUAAAACUUGGUCCUUUCACAAUUACAUAGAAGAGUGAUGAGAAGUAAGCUAUUUAGCUGAGGCCCUGAUCAAGACAUGUAUCAACUUGGCAAUUAGAAUGACCCAAUUCUGAAGUCACCAUAAAUCCAAGAUGAAGACGGCUUAAGCAAAUGAUACACCUUACUGUGCUAGGAAACCGAGAACUAAUAUUUUUGAAGAGACGAACCUGCAAUUCAAACUUGAGGACAUUACUCUCGACGCCACUCUCGUUAUCUCUGUUUCCAGCAGCCACUGAACCAGAAACUCCGUGCUGCUCAGAAGACCAGCGGCAAGAAGAAGCUCUAGGCAUAGAUCCAGCCAUUGGGGAAUCAGGAAGGCUAUGAUUCUCUGCAGUCGUGUCAUUCGAAUUUUGGCCUGGUGCAACCCAUCGGCACUUCAAGUUGUAAGCCCCUGUCUUCUUCCAGUUGAUGCCCAGAUCGCGGAGGGUCUUCAAAACGUCAUUCAUUAUCUCUUUAGGGUGUGAUCGUAACUGCAAUACAGUUAACCACCCUAAAUAAGUUAUCUACAAUCGCCACUGUCCUUCAGAUUUCUCAAACCGAAUAGAGUAUAAAAAAUUGGUGUCAACAAGAAUCUGUAGCUCGUUACAAUAGAUACUACCGAAAUUGAGAGGAACGAGAUCUGAGGGAAGAGGUAUAUGAAAUGGACUUAUUAGAAUGGUAGAGAAAGGAAAUUCAAAAAAUACCUGGAGACCUAAAACCCAUUUCCUCUCAGCUACAACCCUAUGUUGUAGCCCAGAGGGCGAUGCACUUCUUCGGUCCAUACUAGACAUGUGGGUUAAAGUUCGAGGAUAACCAGAUCUUGGCGUCCCGUUAAAUGCAUCCAUUGGAGACAUCAAGUGCUCCUGCAUCAAGAAAUAAACUCCUCACUUUAGACAAUGCUUUACCUUAAGUUCUGAGAAGAAAUCAAAACAAAAAUGGAAUGUGUUUGCCGUGCCAGCCAAAGAAUACCAUAAAUGAACGAUUUUGCACCUACUCAAUUUAAGGACGCAUGAGAUCAUGAACAAGAUAAGUCUUGACAGCCCUAAACCAACCUUUCCCUCAUUGAAUUCAGAGCAAAGAUAACCAUUUGAAAGCCGCCGACGGUUGUCCAGCAUCAAAUAAUAUGCCACAGUGGCCUGCAGAAUAGAAAAUUAAAUGUUCUCAUUAGUUGGACCCAUGUUCACAAACCUUGUUAACCCUAAGAUACAGAAUUUCUGCUGAUAAGUUUGAAUGGAUAGGUAGUCAGAAUUUCCUACUACUUUCCAAACUUUAGACAAGGUUUAGGUUGGCACUACCAAGCCACUGGGGCAUUGAUAAAUUGCAUUACACUGUAAGGAAGUAUGAUACGCUACGAAAGAGUAAGUACCUUGUUUUGCACGCGGUUUAGCAGUGAGUCAAUAAGUAGGUCCCGAUCAAAAUUCAAUGCAACAACCCGCUCCAAUAUUUCCUCGUCAAUCUGUCCGUAAACACACCACCAAACAAUCAUAUGCAUACUCAGAAGACGGCACGACCAGUGUCGCUCAUAAAUGAGAACAUUACUCAAAAAAAAGACAUCAAGUUUCACAAACUUAUAUAUUAAACAUACUCUGAUAAGCACGGUCAUCCAUAUCCUCAAAAGUGAGACCAAGCAAAGCUAUCAACUUCGAGGAAACACCUCAGAACAAUUUUAAUCCGCGAUCAUUUCGAAGAUUACAACGCUUAGCCUCAGUUUUGAAGUUCGGUAUUAAUUUGAUCGAAGUUCUCAUGUUCUUCUACGAGUAAGAGAAGAUACGACACAUGCUCGUCGUUUACAUACACGUUAAAUUGCAUGUACAUACUAGAAAAGAGAAAAUUUCUCAAACGGCCAUCAAAACAUUUUUAGAAAUUUCAGGGAAUAAUCUAGAGCCUCUGGCGGUUGAAUUAAAAAAGUAAAGAAAGCAGCAAGUGAACCCAAGCGCAACCCCAUGAAUUUCAAGAGCACAUACACUAAUAAAUUAUAAUGAGCUCUUACCCGUUUAGCUUGCUGAGUUGUAUCAGGAGGGGGAACUGCAAGGUAACGGGGCAAAUGAUUUAAAAACCAUGGAUGCUGCCGAAUCUCAGGAAUUGUUACUCUCUUCAUCGGGUCUACAAGCAACAUUCUUGGAAUGAGAUCUCUUGCUCCUGGUGAUAAAUGACUAGGCAGAGUGUAGAUGCCACCCUGAGCAGAAAAUACAAUUCAAAAGUGAAUACCAACCAGUAAAUUCUACGUAUUUGUAUAUCAUUUUAUAUGUACAUGCACGUAGAACACAAGCUAUCAGACAGAGACUCAGGGUUGCAAACCUUCGCUUCAGAAUAAGUAUGUAAAAUCGCUUUGUACACAUUAUCUUCAAGUAAGAACAUGGGCUUGUACACAAACUGCACUACGCGGUUCUAAGCGGACUGAAAGAAACACAAUACUCGACUGCAGCGCUGUUACCAGACACGAAACAAAUAGCUAGACACGCCGAACCAACAAUCUAACCUUGAUUUUCUUAAACAGAUUUGGAAUGUUUUCGUCGUCAAAGGGUAAAGAACCACACAAAAGAGCAUACAGAAUAACGCCACAGCUCCACACAUCCACCUCGGGACCGGCAUAUAACUUCCCUGAAAUGACCUGCAUGUUCAACAAUAUCAACAGUCAACAAGCAGGAGUGUGUCCGGGCACAGAAAACCUACAACUUGGUUCAGGCACCCAACACAGAAAACAGAAACAUGUGACACAAUCACAUGACGAAUUAAAACAGUGUCAAACAAGGCAAUCAGGCAUAGAGCAAAACCUCUGGAGCAGCAUAAUUUGGACUUCCACAGCUAGUUUUGAGGAAAUGACCGUCCCUCAUAACAUUGGAUAACCCAAAAUCAGCAAUCUUGACGUUAGACUUGGAAUCAAGAAGUAAGUUCUCUGGCUUCAAGUCACGAUGAACUACCAUGUUCCGAUGACAAUACUCCACUCCGGACACAAUCUGUACAGAAUAAGAAAGUUCAAUCAGCUUCAAGAUAAGAGUGCACACGAAAUACAAAGUUUCAUGAAACAUUUAUCCCUCAGACAAAAGACACACUCUCUCCCUCUCUCCCUCUCACACACACGGGAGUCCCAUGAGUAUCAAGUGUUGCUGAGAAGAGAAAAAAGCACAAGAAAACAAAUUAAGAACCACUUAAUCGGAGCGGAAAUUUUCUACUCACAGCAUCAUUAUGCCAACAAAUGGUUUUAAACUCCGCAAUCCACCCUCGAGAAUUUACGUCACCACAGCAGGCAUAUCAAGGUGAUUGAAUGAAGCCCCAACGUACAAUUCAGUAACUUGCAUUAGAAUAGCUGUAAAACCAGAGCAUAGGCUACCUGCUGGAAAAAUCGUCGAGCUUCAUGUUCACCUAGACGUCCCUUCUCAACAAUGUAAUCAAACAGCUCCCCUGAUUUUACAUAUUCCAUCACCACAAAUAUGUCUGCCGGUGUCUCGAUAACUUCGUACAAGCGUAUGAUGUGGGGAUGCAUGAAUAGUCGCAAAAUCUUGAUCUCACGCCGCACUGCACAACAUGCCACCACACCUCAGCCAUUACUGAAUCAACUUAUGGACUUAGGGACUGAAUGCGAACAUCAUACAUGAGUAGUCGAACCCUAGAAAGGAUUCAUGAACCCUAAUGACUGAACGAUAAGCAGUACAAGAUAUUUCUAUAUUUGUAAGGAGGUCAAGCUACACUAAAGUUAGUCAAGAGACCCUGAACCCAUACACAAAAGAAAAAAAAAGGAAAGUACUGAUCUGACUGUAAGCUAAAACUCUUGGGCAGAUGCUAAAUCCCCUACUGACCCACUGACAGACUCAACGCACACACACACACACACACACACACACACACACAUGUUUUCCUUCGACACGCAAAAGCACUUCAUCAGGCCUAAGGAAGUGGAUCAAAGUAUAACAAAAGGCUGAAACCGACCUUUCUCCUCCAUGUCCAUCAUCUUGACUUUCCGUCGAUUUAAAAUUUUAAUAGCCACCUUGUGGCCAGUGGGUGAAUGUUCUGCCACUUUCACCUUCCCGAAAGACCCAAUCCCUAGGGUUUUCCCCAGCUUGUAGUUGGGCAAAUAGUACUCCGCUGUAGCAGGACCCAUGGGCCGGCCACCUGCCUCCAUCGCUAACUCCUUCACCCCCACCCUAACCUUCCGGCACUCACGUCUGCAGUCUCUCUAUCCACUCCCGGGCAAUGGCUCUCAACGUCACGACCCGCCAAUUACGCAGAGCCUCAUCUCCUCAAUGCGAGAUCCCUCCUUUCCAUCACGCCCAAAUUCAUCUACCGUGGGACACUGAAUCCGCCACAGCCUCACCCCCAAACUCAUUCACACUACACCCUCCCAAACCAGAUCACCUCAAAUCAAACGCCUUCAAAUCCGCCACACAUCUCCACAAUGGCACGCAGUCAAUGCACUCCAACACCCUUCUAAAACCUCCACUCCCAUUCCCCGCACCAGAUCAAUAUACCCUUAUCACACCAUCUCCACAUAAAACUCCACCAGACUACCACCUCAAAUAAAACCCCCCUCUACCCGACUGUCCCUCCUCCGCAGAUCACACCACCCAACCCUCACCUCCCUACUCCAACCCCAACUAUAAAUCCACAACUCUGCAAUCCACCCUUCCAACCCCUACAUAAAACAUACACAUCAGAUCCCCCUCCUCGUUAUCCCUCCCAUACACCCCCUUCAUNNNNNNNNNNNNNNNNNNNNNNNNNNNNNNNNNNNNNNNNNNNNNNNNNNNNNNNNNNNNNNNNNNNNNNNNNNNNNNNNNNNNNNNNNNNNNNNNNNNNACUCCUGUCUACCCAUCCAUCCACCACACCAAAGCUUUCUUCCUCCCCCUUCGCCUCAAACGCCACUCAAAGCCACCAAACGAAAAUCCGACAUUGUACAGCAAAACUACAUCAGAAUCCAGAGGCGGUGCAGCAAAUCCGAGCCGUGAAUCAGACACCGGCAUAGGACUACUGCCAGGGAUCGAAGGAGAAGGAAGGUCCCUCCAAACGAGAGAGCGAGAGAGAGAAUAGACUAGAAUAGACUAGAAGAAAAGAGAAAAAGGAGAGGAAGAAGAAGAAGAAGAAGAGAUGAGAGCGAGGGGGACGACAACAUGUGCAGGGAAAAGAAAGAGUUCAAGGCAUGAUUCUCACUCUGUCUCAUAAGGAGCCUCAAUUGAUACCCCAUACCCACCCGGUAACGAUUGAUACUCUGUGGUCACCGGAUAUGGACCCUACACCCCUCUCCCUCCCUUCCCUCCGCCCCAACCGACGGCUAUUGACCUUCCAGAUUCCCUUCUUCAUUCGUUUGUUUGUUGCUUUUUCGUCCACUUUAAUCAUUCGCCCUCUGUCCCGUUUCUCGUACACUUUGUAGGCUUCGUCUUCCUUUCUUUCUGCUUUUUACCUUUUUUUUCUCUCGCCCUCGAUGCCUUUAUCUUUUUUUAAUGCCUUUUUUUCGAUUGCCCAGGUUCGGUUUCUGUUGCUUUUGAGAUGAUGGUUUGCUAUCCCCCUUGUUUGUUG
This 52973-nucleotide long non-coding RNA is filed under the name Physcomitrium patens. RNAcentral describes it as "long non-coding RNA (PPAT_LNC000772)". Lineage: Eukaryota; Viridiplantae; Streptophyta; Bryopsida; Funariales; Funariaceae. The record is from RNAcentral.